Molecule: long non-coding RNA, 53279 nt
Filed under: Vitis vinifera (wine grape)
Lineage: Eukaryota; Viridiplantae; Streptophyta; Magnoliopsida; Vitales; Vitaceae
Description: long non-coding RNA (VVIN_LNC001544)
Source: RNAcentral
AGAAACCUAAACCUAGCUUGGUAUACAAGCUAAUUCCAAUUCCCUAAUCCGAAUAGCCUGAGAAUAUUGCAUUCCUAACGUACAAUAUUAAACAACAUAGACAUAUACCUCCAAAAAGAAAGAAACAUUGAGGUUGCUUUCCUCUCCCUUUUUCCUCUUGCCCCUCUUUAAGUCAAAGAUUAGAGGGUGCUAAAUUCCGCAAGAGACAAAGUGCAUGAAAAUCAAUUGAUGGAAUAUUUAUAUAUCCCCAUGCAAUGCUAUCUACAUGCAUGCACCCUUCUCCAACCACACAAUUACUACAAAUUCUUUGUGCUUUCUCUUAUGAAAAUUGAUGAGAUGGUACCAUGUGUAUAGAGAAAUGAGAUGAUAUUACAAUGCUUUUUUACUCAAUUGAUCCCGAAGAGAAAUAGACAGCUAUAAUAAUAAGUUUUUUGUUUAGAUAGUUCCCCUCUUUAAAUUUGAUUGAGAAUGUGUUCAUCCUUAGUACCUAACACCAAUAUUGCCCUUACUUGACGUGCUUCUAACUUCACUCAAAUUAAAAUUAAUAGAACUAAAACUUUGGAUUACCUUCUGAAAUGCUUAAAAUCUGAAUUGAUUGUUUUACCAAUGAAUUCUCUACUUUAAGUCGUAAUUGAAACUACAAAAAUUUGAAAACACCUUGUUUUCACAGCAUAAAUAUUUUAACCUUCUUUUUUAUGAAGAAAAAAAUUAUAUAGAAAUCAAAAGAGAAAACUUUCUUGCAGAAAUAUGUUUUUUCGACUUUGCUUAAAGUGAGUGAAAGAGAGAGGUUUUUUUUUUUUUAAUGAUUAUAUAGUGACAAAAAUGAAGUUUUAACUCCGACAAAGACAUUCAAAGAAUCUUAUGUAUUCAACCGUAUAGGAAAUUAUAAUAUUAAUAAAUUAAACAAUUUAAUUAAAUUUUUAGAGCUUUGCUUUUGUUUUGAGUCAUUGUAACUCUACGUUAUAUCACUUUAGUCUUCAGAUUUGUUGUGAUGAUACAAAUAUAUAUAUAUAUAUAUUGACUAAUAGAAAUCUAAAUAUUUAAAAAAAAAAAAAAAAAACCCCUUUGCUUUAUUCAUAGGAAAGGUAAAAUAAGUAUUUCAAAUUGGACGAAAAAUUAUCUUCGCUCUAUUUUUUGAUAAAAUAUAAAUUCAAAUUCCAACCGCUCUUUCGAAAUGAAUGCUUCAUCUAAGGUGAGUUGAGGACAGUAGGGUAUUGUAUAGAUGUUGAAUUUGACAUGGUAGUAAACUCGUAUUCUGGGUGAUGCUCAUUAGAUAUAAAACUUUCUUCCUCCAUUGAUCCUUAUGUGACACGUAAUUAUUAGUAUAUGCUCCAAUGCGAAAUUAGAUAUCAAAAAUCAUUAUGGUCUCUAUCUUCAAUGGCAUGCCACGUAAUCAAAUCUUCCAUGCAUAUUCAAUUCUCUGAAGAAUGAUCCUUCUUUUUUCUCCAUUUUUUUUUUUGUAUUUCCGGUCAUUUUUCAAUUUCGUUCUUGUCAGCCUUUAGUUAUAAAAAAAAAAAAAAGUUUUGAUUUUUUAUUUUUUAUUUUAUUUUCUUUUAAUUUUUUUAAAGUUUGGCAGGUUGGUCAUGUGAUAUACAUUUGAUUAAUUAUGCUCACAAUUGAGUUAUUUGGUACAAUUUUUAAUUUUAUUGUGCAUAUCACAGUCGACCCCAACUUACUACAAUAAUUGGGUUGUGUUGACCCAACUCGACCUUUUGACAUUUAGGAUCACGAGCCAAAAUGGGUGACCCAGCCCAUUGGAUUGGACACCUCUAUAGGUAGGUUCAAGUAAAAGGUCCAAGUCUAGUAUAAAAUCCAUUUUUUUACUAAAUUAUUUUAAUAUACCGAUUAAGUAAUUUAAAAUUUAAUUAUAUUUUAUUUUAUUUAAAAUUUACCUACUCACUACUCACUUCCUUUGAUUGUAAAUUAAUCACACACCUUCACACACAACUUCUCCUUUUAACUCUUUUCAUUUCCCUCACCUGCCUCUGGCCCAUUGCCUUCUCAUCCUCAACCAAAAAUACAGAGAUUUUCAUGGGAGCACCCACCAACUGUAUUAUUCUUCUUCAGAUGCCAGUGACUAGAUUCAUUUUCCCAGAUGGCACCCUCUGAAUGGCAGAAGCAUCUAUUUACUGGUGGCCCCAAAACCAAUGACACUCUUCAGAUUUUUAAUUGCCCAUAUCUCAAUGGUUGUCAUCCACCACCACCACCACCACCACCUUCCUCCAAUCAUAUCCAAAGACUGCCCUACCUCAAGUCAUUGUUAUAGCUUUCCUCCAAAAAAAACCCCGAACUUCCCAAUACACAAUACACAAACAAAAGGGAAAGCUCCAGCUUUGAUUGUGCUAAGCUGGCACCAGCUUCAUCAUCAUAUGCCCUCCUCUCCUUUAUCCCUUGUGUCUAUCCUCCUUUCCUAAGUCCUAUGUAUAUAUAUAGCCUCUCUUUCUCCCCUUGAAGCUCACCAUCCACUCAUUCACCAAUACUACAUUGCACACACACACUCUCCAUCUUUCUUUUUGUGUGUGAAACAUGGGGUUUUCUUCAUAUGAGUAUUCAGUUUUGGUGUUGGUUUUGGCAAUGAUGGUGGCUACUGCCUCUGCUAGUAACUUCUAUCAAGACUUUGACAUAACAUGGGGCGAUCAUCGCGCUAAGAUGUUCAAUGGAGGGCAGCUUCUCUCUCUGUCCCUCGACAAGGUCUCUGGCUCUGGCUUCCAGUCCAAGCGAGAGUAUCUAUUUGGGAGGAUUGAUAUGCAACUCAAGCUUGUUGCUGGCAACUCUGCUGGCACUGUCACUGCCUACUAUGUAUGUUUGAUAACUCCUAAAGCUUAAACUGUUUUUUCCUGCCUAAAAUUUACUUUAAGGGUGGUGAGGGUGUUGCAUAUAUAUCAUCUUUAUGAGUAUGCAUUGGGUAUGAAGUUUUUUUGCCAACCUUCAUGUAGGACUAACAAUCAGCUGCUGUUGUUUGUGUUGCAGUUGUCGUCUCAGGGACCGACACACGAUGAGAUCGACUUCGAGUUCUUAGGAAACCUUAGUGGGGAUCCAUAUAUCCUGCAUACUAAUAUGUUCACUCAAGGGAAAGGGAACAGGGAGCAACAGUUCUAUCUCUGGUUCGACCCCACUAGAAAUUUCCACACCUAUUCUGUCAUCUGGAACCCCCAGCAGAUCAUGUAAGAGAGCACACUCAACUAACCAUCCUCAAUAUAUAAGCUUUAGAAUGAAAAACAAGUGGAAACUAAGCAAAAAGGCAGGGUAACUAAGAAAUCCAAUGAAUAAUGAGCAGAAAACACAAAGGAAAGGAUUGAGAAAUGCCAAGAAAAAUCAGGGGAAAUAAAAAUUUAGACUAGCAAUCCCCAGGCUCCUACCUGCACAUUUCUUCAUGUUUCCGUCAUAAUUUCACUCCAUUUGGGUUUCCUAUAUGUUUUUUGUUUCAGGGGAGACCACUUCCCAUCUCCAUAAAGCAUUUCCCCUAAAACCAAUAAGCCAACUUCCAUGUUUACUAUGCUUUAACAAUUACUGACACAGUAGCUGCUUCUCUUUUCAGUUUCUUGGUGGAUAAUACUCCCAUAAGACUAUUCAGAAAUGCAGAAUCAAUGGGUGUUCCCUUCCCCAAGAACCAACCAAUGAGAAUUUACUCGAGCCUAUGGAAUGCGGAUGACUGGGCCACAAGAGGAGGGUUGGUGAAAACUGAUUGGUCCAAAGCCCCCUUUACAGCAUACUACAGGAACUUCAGAGCCUACACCUCCACCUCCUCAAACUCAUUCUCUAAUAGUGCAUGGCAGUUCCAAGAGCUUGAUGCCAACAGCCGAAGACGACUGAGAUGGGUUCAGAAAAAUUUCAUGAUUUACAACUAUUGCACCGACUACAAACGCUUCCCUCAAGGCCUUCCUCCUGAGUGUAAAAACUCAAAAGUUUAGUCUCUGGAAAACAGGAUAAGGAUCUCUACUAAAAGAAAGAGUUGAGCUUGUAUUAUAUUUCAUGGUAGAGAUCAUUUAGUACUUCUGUUGUGCAUAUUCCACUUGUUUGGGUGCUUAAGAGGUUAAAUAAAACAUAUUGUUGACAAUUGUUUGUUGUUUGAAUCAUGGGUUUAAUGUAACAAAAGUAUACUUCAGCCACUCUUCAAACAGUUGGCAAUUGAUGGUUAGAAUUUGUAUCACCAGGCAGUUAUUGUUUGAGGGCAUCUCAUUCGAGUGGUGAGAGGGGGGGUGAGGUUGAAAUUGAAAUUGCUAUUUCCUGUUUGCACCUCAAUAAUUCAAUAUGAAGGAUGUUCAUACUCCAUGUUGAGUGAAAGAGAGAUCUAAAAGGACAAGAAAUUCCAGAAUAAUUGAAGAGCCUGAAAAUUCCUCAAAGUUGUAUCCAAUAUUAAGACAACAAGUCUUCCUCCUUUGGAAUGGUCUUCCAAUUAUUUGUCACUCUGUCUAUAGAAAAUCCUACAGAUAUCAACAUAUUUCCUAACUACAUGUCAGUUGUAAAACUAAACCAAGUUUCAUAUCCAUGCUGAAAAUUUCCUCAUCUACUAAACUCAUUUCCCCUACUCACUGUGGAUCCAAAGAAUGAUUAAACUCAGACCCUGCUUCAGUAGACUAAUUGCUAGAUAAUGGCCUUCUGAACACAAACGAGAAGAAGUAUAAUAAGACACCACUCUUAAGAUUGUUAUGCUUAGACAUUGCACAUUUAAAUCUUACUGAUGAAUCUAAAAAUUUCUCUAUGCUCAUCUAUCCUCACUAUUUGGCAACUGUCAUUUCCAGUUGCUGAUAAAAGAUUUUACAAUCUUUAAAAAGGCUGAAUCCUGUGGAACAUAAUUUUGCAAUUCAAAGAUGACUAAACAAAACCACAAUCCUAAAGUUAUAUGAGACAUGAUUUCAAGAGUACAUAUUCCGAACACAAACCCUUUUAUAAGAGCUCUUCUGAUCAGUGCCAUGAAUACAUCCGUAUCACAUUUGCUAAAGCUAAACUGGAAUUAUUCCAAACUAAUAGCAGUUAUAAUUAUUCUUCUAAUCAGCACCACGAAAACAACAAAAUUCACAUUAAGGGAACCUACAUCUAAACAGAUCUCUCAAAAAAUUAGCUGAAAAAUAGGUGGAAUCCAUAACAAUGCACAGAGAAGAAUUUAUUGAUGUGAAAUCAUUUUAGGUAUACAUAUUCCAAACUUAAAGCAAUUAAGAUGAUUCUUCAAAUCAAAGCCAUAAAAGAUGCUCGUAUUCACACUAGUUGAAGCUAAAGUAGCAUCUUACAGAGCUUCAAGACAUGAAGCUAAAGAAGCUGAAAUCCAUAACAAAUGGCUACAUAUUAAAUGCAGACAGUGUUGUGUGUGGUGGCAAGCAUAGCUUUCUGGAUUCAUGAUUUUUCUUUUAUACAACUAUUGUUUGCCCUCUUCCACAGGUAAAUUAUAUCUAUCAACUUCUCAGCAACAUUAAAUGUCACUUACUGUUACACUUGGCAAAAACACGCGAGCAAAUCCCCAAUACUGUAGCCUCUGCAAGGCAAAUUAUCCUGGAACAAGAAAGACCUGCUACAACAACCAAGCAUGCCUUGCACAACACAUGCCUUAAAUUAAUAUCACCAUCUGAAGAAUAUAUCAAAACUCUUUGUCCUCUAUCUUCUUUCUCCUUCAAAAUUAUUUGCUUGACAAGCUUGUCUUUGUAACGACUUUUUCAUUAACAUAAUUGGAGAACGAUACCCUUGGCCGCUGCAAACACUGUUAGGAAAAAGAGUAACUAAGCUUAAGGAGUACUUUAGGUAAGCAUAUGGGCUGUGAGCAUAAGUCAAUUAUGCUGCCCACACACAGUAAAACUAGCAGGUUGUUACAGAAGAAAAUUGUAACAAAUAAUUAGUCCAACAUUUGUUGAAGUAAUAGCUUGUAGCCUGCCUCUUUAUGAUUACUGUGUUUUUACACUUAAAUGAUCAUUCGUGCCAUAGCAAAAGAAGGGCAUGCUAGGGAGGUGAAAAUAGGAGGACAAGGAUUUCCAGUCCCAAAUAGUAAGAACUUCUUUUUGAUAUAGUUGGAAAAUGGUGUUUAAACAGUGGAAUCAAUUAAAAAAGGCAAAAAGAAUAAGUUGGCACUCACUGUAAUUCUGCAGUGAAUGUUGAGGUCAUAAUUCAUUUGUUUUAGUCGUUCUUUUGCUAGUUCUGCUGCAUUGGAAGCUUUCUCACAAGCAUCUUUUACCUGUAGUUAAACAGGAAAAAAGAGAAAAAGAACAAGAGAAAAAUUAGAUAUAGCAAUAGGCAAAGUUUCAUAGAAACCAGAGAAAACUCCUCAAGCUUUUUGAGGACAAAAGAUUGUUCCAGAAUUUGCAUAUUCAAGCCAAUAAGAAAAACAUAGGUUGAUGAAUAACUCAUGAAUGACUAAUGGUACAGCAUACCUAGUCCUAAAGUAUUGAAAAGCGAUUUUUUUUUUGUGACUCCAAAAGAAAUGAAUGAAUACUUGGACAAGCAUGGAUGCUAGAAUGAAACACGUAUGGUAUACCUAGCACUGAUGGCCACACAAAAUAAUGGUGAAAGUUUAGCAAGCAAAAAGCUAACAUGGAAAAGUUAUAUUGUUCAUUACAUUGGGAUUAUGAUGGUAGAAGAUGGAAGUUAAAGAAUUACAAUGUGAGAUUCCCAAUCUUUUUAGGAAAUACAGGUAUUUGACUUGUAUCAGAAAGCUCAGUAGAUGCAUCAACAUUUAUCAAUUAAGAAGCAAAAACCAUGAACAUAAGUAUGAGCUACUCUAUCCAAAGAUACAAUGUGUUUGGUUCAAAUUUGUAUGACAGAUUCAAGGGAGCAAAACAUAUUAUAGAAUACCUAGCCAUAUGACACAAGCUAGGAAAACCAAAUAAUAAGCAUAUUUGUAAACCAAGAUUGCUUAUAUUCCAAGCUAGGUAUAUGUUGGCCAUCCAUCUCCAGUAAAAACCAGCCAAUCAUAAAACAAAAGUAUCACUAAUCAUUAGCAAAAGUCUACAGGAUUAAGUGGUUCUUGAGCAAGAAAGUUACUCCGCUGGGGCUUUUGACUAACUGGCUCAAUUCAUUUCAUGUCAUUUUUUAAUUUUAAGAUCCAUUGCAUGUGCAAACUCUCUACUAUAGUUGGUUACAAAUAAAAUAACCAAAAUUCUAAAAUGAUAAAAUUCCAUGAGAUAGAUGCAUAGUGAUGUACCAGACUCGUGAUUCAACAAGAGUCAGAAAUUUCUUUGUUAAAAAUUAAUUUGUUAAUCUUGCAGACUGAUACAUGCCACCCUUUCUUAAGAGUUAACUACAACAACUAUGUGCUCAGCCAAGCCACAGAAAAAAUGUUUCCACAUAUGCAUACAAAUAUGAAGAUGAUUUGAACAGAACAAUGGACAAUUUGUACAUGUUAAAUAUAAUUUCAUUUAUUUUCAUUGAUUUCAGAAGUGUCUUAACCAACAACUUUGCCCUUCAACAAAAUCCAACACUUAUUUUGAAAAAUUAGAUCUACUCUUAAAACACCAAUGUCACUAGCAUCUUCAGUAGCCAGCUUAUGUUAAUAUUCAAAUAGAAUAAAUUUAUUCAAAGAAACUAAAAGGACGGAAGUUCAAAUUAAUAGAGAAUUAAAUUGCAUACUGAAGAGGCUGGUGCAUAUUGAAACUAAGUUAGUUCCUAUUUUGAAAAUGGUGCAAAGCAUCUUGGUGAAGUUGAACUGGAAACAAUAGACCCCAAAUAUUGUUCCAACUAAUAGGAGCUUUUUUCAAGGUAAGAACAUGGACCCUGAAGGUUUCCAGGCCUUUAGUGGCUUUGAAUGAGGUCUUUAAAACAUAAAGAGAUGCUGGAUUGGGCACUAGGAAGACCAAUGAUUUAAACACAGCUAUUCUUCUUUUUCCCCUCUUUUUGGCUAAAUUGGCUUGGGAAGUUCUUAGUGAUAGUCAUGGCAGUUGGAUGAACAUUACAAGACAAAAACGUAUUGGUAAGUUAUCCAGAUCAUAAUGAACUAAAAGAAAUGGUGAACUUGUGUCAAUUUUGGGUCCAUAAUCAGGUCUACCAUUAACUGGGUAGAUGAAGUCUACAAAAUACAUUGAUUACUUUAAUUGUCUUGGAAUUUGGAGCCUCAACGAAAAUAGAGCAUGUUGGACUCAAACCAAGGAUGAGGAUUCAACAUAGGUAGUUUGGGCUAAAGGCAGCAAUAAGAAUUAUCAAAAGGCCAAUCUUCUUAAUUGAAUUAGAAAAGUAAAGCUAAUCUCUACUAAUUUGAUAUUUGCAUGGUGACUUUAUUGACCGGAUUGAAAAUAUCUAUCCUGAAAAUCAGACUACCUAAGUUGUUUUCUAAAUAAAUGGAACUAAUAGCUACCCUUGGAGAAUUUAUUCAGUGAAGCCAGGUGAUGCUUCUGUUAUUAUCAUGGAGGUUCCCGCUCUUAGAGGACUUAUGUUGGCAGCAUAAAAAGGUUUUCAAACUUCUUGAAAUGGAAUAGUAUUUCCAUUUGGUGUUUCUACUAAACAAAGAAUAAAAAAAGCAAGAAGAGUUGGGAAAUUGGAUCUUCAGUUCAUGCAAUAUUUACCUGAUUGACAUGGACAAAAGCAUCAUUACUGGCUCCAACAGCAGAUUCCUCCAACAUCUUCCUUAAGUAAGAUAGUUCCUUCAUCAAUUCCCCUGCUACUUCCUCAGCAUCUUGCAUUUGAUUUCUAGAGAACUCAAAUGCUCUUUCAGCAUGGAGGCGAAACGAAGCACAGUUUAGACAACUGCAAAGUCCCCUGCAGCCUCGUGGAUUUCUUUUAAGAAUCCCCUUCUGGAGUCUAGCAUCAGGAAAUCCUGAAGGAGCAAAUGCUUCAACUUGUAACGAGUUUUGCUCAAAAUUAAUUGUAUCUGAUGACUUCACAUUUGUAAUUAACUCCAUUUCUGGAGUCACACAGUUCUCUUCUGUAUCUACAGAUGGUUGAUGACAAACUUCUACAACUGUUUCUUCUCUUGACAAAGCUUCACAAGUGACAAUACAUGGUAGUGUAUCUGGUUGAUCCGUUCCCUGAAUCACAGUCAAAUUAUCAUUGAGAGGCUCCAACUUACUAGAUUCAUCUGAUUUAACCCGUUCAAUUUGCGACUCCCGUUCCUUCUGUGAAUCAAAUGCAAUCUGGGGUUCACCAAGGUGUUCAUCAGAUAUCAAAUCCAGCUUUUUAUCAUUAAUAGAUCCUUCAGAGGGAGUCAAUGUGGCUGUGUGCAGGGCACCAGAAUCAACAUUAUUACCUUCUAUCUGAAAACCGUUCACAUUCAAUUUGUUUUCACACAUUUCUUCAUUGUGAGAAGCCAGCAAAGAUGGGUGUGGCUUUUCUUCUAAGCCCAUCUCGGGUUUUGGGCAUUGAACAUUUUUGGAAGCACCUAUAAGAAUUGGUUAUAAUACAUUAGAACUUAGCCUUUCAAUAUAUUCCCUUCUAUUGAGAAAAGAAGAUGGUAAAACAAGAUAGAAAAAUUUACAGGAAUUUUCUUUUGCAAUAUCCAUCAGAUAAGGAAGCAAUCUUCUAUAGCUGAAUGAGCCUGGAGUUUUGAAUAACUUGAGCCGAGAAUAUGGAUUGAGAACCUACAACCCAGAAUUCAAAUCGCCAAAGUAAUUAAAUUGCACUAAUCCCAUGCCAACAUCUAAAAAAAAAAUCACAUUAUUGUGCCAAUCCUGUCACAUUUUCAGAUUUUAGAAAAAUAAAAACAUAAGUCAAAAUGAGUUAUCUUCUUUACCGAUCUACUUCUCGACAUGGAGUCAUUUUUGCGAAUGUUCCCACACGGCUGCUUCAGCAAAAUAUUUUCAGUACUCUGGGACACACAUUGAGCUCCAUUACCCUCACCUUCAUCCACCUCUGGCUUGCUGAAAAUAUCAGCAUCCGGCGGCGUCAUCUGAACAUUUUUCUCGUCACAAAACCCGGCAUUCUCCUUCAUGGCAGCCGCCUUCGGAUCAUCUCUGCUGCUCUCUGUCGAGUCAUCCAAAUUCCGAUCUGGACUGAGAGAUUCUACUCCAAUUUUCCCCUCGAGCGAGGCCGUUCCAUCAGGAUAACCACAUCCAUCCUUCAGGAUUUGAGGCUUAUCAGUGGCCAGAUUACAACAAGAGAACACGCGAUGCGCCCGGAGAUCCUUGAUAGCAAUGUGGGAAAUCUGGCCUUCAUCGAGACGGCUUCGAGGCCCAUAUCUCCCUCUGGGCUUUCCUUGAGGCAAUUCUGACCAUUGAAAUGUCGUUGUUGGUGUAGUGAGGAGCCUUUUACGGCCAGAUCGAUUGCCGCCGAUGUGGACUUGAGAUUUACUGCGAGUGAAGAUGCCUGUAGAGGAAGGCUGUUUUCGUUUCUUAGAGCUUGAGUUGGCUGCCAUGGCUGCUUCUGGUUUAGGGUUUUUGGAAUGGAGAGGCUUUUUUGGAGAUUUUUGUACAGAGAGAUAUGUUUUGGCGGGAAAGAGUGAAAGGGGCGAUGGCGGGAAAGGGACAGGAAUUGGCGGGGAAGUCGGAUAAGAGGGCUGCAAACCCGAAUUUUUUAUAAAAAGUAAGGUCAUUUAAAAAUAAUUUUUUUAAAUAAAGCACAUUGAAAAAUAAUUUUAAUUUUACGGCAAUUUGCACUAUUCACACUAUUUAGUCGUUAUCCUCUUUAAAAAUAAAGUGAAAUAGAGAAUAGAUUUUAAAAAAUAAGUAAAAGUUAUUUUUACCAAAUUUUAAAAACAAAAUGGAAACACUAAGAAAAUUUUAAAAAUCAUAAAAAGUAAAUAAAAUUAAAUAUGACAUUAAUCUUUUUCUCUCUUAAUAAUCUAAUAUCAAUAUAAAAAAACAUUUAAAUAUGAUAUUUCUUUAAAUUACACGUGUUUUUCUAAUUCUUUUUUUACCUUCUUUAUUAAGCCAAUGAAUUAUAAAUCAAAUAUAUAUAAGAUUUAUUAAUUUAAAAAAAAUAAUCUUAAACUUAAAUAUUGAUUUAAUUACUACCAAAAGGUCAUAAAACUCAAUAAUAUUAUAAAGUUAUAGACUAAAAUUUAUUUUAAAUAACUUGGUUAGUUUCUUCUUUAUGGAAUAAAACUCAAACAAUGAUGCAAUUGAUAGUAGAAAUUUAUGGAAUAAAAUUGGUUUAGAAAGACUCAAUUGUUUUUCUUCUACAUAGAAUAAUUUUAUUUUAUUUUUCACUAGAUAUAUGAAACUCAAAUUAAGUAAGACUUAAUGCAUUGAAUUUAUUGAAAAGUUUAGUAAUUUUAGAAAUAGCUUAGAACUUAAAUAAUUAAAAAAGCUCGGAAGUCCAAUAGGGUAACACUUAGAGGGGUGAAUGAGUGUAUUUAAAAAUUUAUUUGAAUAUUAUAAUUAACUUUUUCCUUGCAAAAAGUUAAGGAUGAUUAAUUCAUUCAAUUAUUGGCAAUGCAAUGAAGAUAACAAAAAAUAAGCAAUGAGACACAAGGAUUUUUAUAUGGAAAACCCUCACACUCGCUGUAGAGAGAAAAAACCAUAAGAUCUAAAACCGUCAAUCUAAUUCUACUAUAUGAGAUCAAAUUAUGUAGAUUUAUAUUACUGUUUUACCCUAAAGACUUACUCUUCAAUACUUAUAACUUGAUUCACGUCUGCAAUACAAUAAUCUCUUAUUACUUUAGUGAAUACAUUUCAGCCUCUUUAAAGGAAUGAAGGUAUUCAACUAAGAUUCAAAGCUUGAAUCAUUUGAAUGAAAGAUGGAGAAUGAUAAGGCUUGUUAGACUUUCUCCUCAAUGAAACUCCCUCUAAAGAAAUUAAGAUUUCUUUUGAAAUCUCUCUAAUCUCUAACCCUUAGAGGGUUAUAGAGAGGUGUUUAUAGGCAAAUAACUUAAAAGGGUUUGAUAUGAAUAGGUUUCCAAAUCUAAUUUACGUGAAAUUCUAAAAAAUAUUCUCUUAUUUUCAACAAAAAAUAUGAGUGUUCAAGUACACUUAACCACCACUUGAACGCCUCGAAUGCUUGAGUGGUGCUAAGUGCUUAAGUGAUCUCAGCACUUGAGUGUUGCUACCGGUCGAGCAUCCACUGUUUCAUUUAACUUUUAAAAAAAAUCAAUUUUUGUUAAUUUAAAAGGUACCAUUCCUCUUUAUACCUCAUAAGAGUCUAACUUGUCAUAAGCGAAAUCUUUUUAGAUGUACUUAUGACUUUUCGAUUGGACGAACAACAACACUUAAUCUUUAAUGAAGAGCAAAUAAUUAUUUAAAAGGACUUCUAUAACUAAACAUUAAAAAGAAUAAAAUUACCAACGUACAAAUAAAAUUCCAUGUCUUAAUAAUAAUGAUGUGAUUAAUACCAACAAUUAUGGACAAAAAUUAGUCUAGAAAGACUAAUAUUUAUCUUCUACAUAAAAUCAUUAAUUUUUUUAAUAUUUUUUUCACUAUGCAAAUGAACUCCAAAUUAAGCAAAACUUAAUGCGUUGGAUUCAUUGAUGAGUUUAGUAAUUUUUAAAAAUAAUUUGAAACUCAAAUAAUAGACUCAUUAAUACCAUAAAUUUAUGAAUAAAAAUUAGUUAUAAUGACUUUAUUGUUUCUCUUUUAUAUCAAAUCAUUAUUUUCUAAUUUCUUUUACCAGGCAAAUGAAUUAGUAAUUUUUAAAAAUAAUUUGAAACUCAAAUAAUAGACUCAUUAAUACCAUAAAUUUAUGAAUAAAAAUUAGUUAUAAUGACUUUAUUGUUUCUCUUUUAUAUCAAAUCAUUAUUUUCUAAUUUCUUUUACCAGGCAAAUGAACUCCAAAUUAAGCAAAACAUAUAUGUUGGAUUCAUAACAAGUCUAAUAUUUUUUUUUUAAAGGCUUGAAGCUCAAAUAAUGACUCAAUUAAUACCAUAAAUUUAUUGAAAAAAUUGGUCUAAAAUAACUAUAUUAUUUUUCUUUUGCAUAGAAUUAUUAUUUAAUUUUUUUUUCACUAGAAAAAUGAACUCCAAAUUAAAGCAUGAUUAAUGUGUUUCAUUCAUUGAUGAGUCUAACAAUUUUUAAAAAUAAUUUUACACUCAAAUAAUAAAUCCAUUAAUACUAAAAAUUUAUAAAUAAAAAUAUGCUUAGAAUAACUCUAUUAUUUCUUUUUCUACACAUGGUUAUAUUUUUAUAAUUUUUUAUACUAAAAAAAAUAAGUUUCAAAUCAAAUAAUACUUUGAUUUUAUUAAUGGAUUAAAAAAUAGAUCUAAUCACUAAAAAAAUAAUAAAUCAAAAUUGAAAUAUUAUGAGUUAUAAUUUUAUUAUUUUUCCUAUACGUGUCAACUAUAUUUUUUGAAUUUAAAUAUAUUAUAAAUUAAGUCAAACAUAAUUAAUAAUUUAAAUUCUUAAAUGAAUCUUUUAAUUUUUAAGAAUAAUUUAGAAUUAAAAAUAUUGAUCCAAUUAAUUAUAGAUUAAAUCAAAACAUUUUAGAAUAUUAUAUUCAUAAUUGAGUAGUAAAUGUGUAUAUGUGAAUAUUAAUUAAUAAUUUUAUUUUAAAAUUAUUUUUUUAAAAAAAUUAUGAAGAUGUCAAUAUCCUUAUAUUUGUAAUAGGUGGUAUUUUUUAAUAAAAAUUUUAAUUUAUGAUUUUUUUAUAAUAUUAUUAUUUGUGUUUUACUAAAAACUAUUUAUUUUUUAAUUUAUUUGUAAUUAUAAAACUAUUUUCAUUUUUUAAAAGACUUGAAUUAAAUUUAAUUAAUAUUAUAUAAAUUGAAUUUACAAUAUUUUUAUAAAAUAAAAAUUAAAAAUUAAAAACAACUUAUCGAAAUAAGUUUUUUAUUUUUUAUUUUGAAAAACCAUUUUUAAAAACAACUCGUCAAACACCCUUAUAUUUUUUUAUAAAAUACUAACAAACUGUUUCUAUUCUUUAAUUUAAAAACAAUUUUAACAAAAAACAACUUUUAGAAAUAAGAAUAAGAAAACACGAUCAAAUGAGCCCUUAUUUAUUUGUUUGUUGUUUGUGUUUUGUUUACUAUUGUGGUUCUAUUUAGUAAUUAGUUCUUCCCUAUAAUAAGAUGAUCUUUAAUUGAGUAAUUGGUUAGAUUAAUCCGAAACCUUUUUUAAUUGUUCCAAUAAAAAAACCUUUCUUAAUUAUUAAUCCAAUAAGAGAAUUUUUUUCUAUCUAUAGUUUUUUCUAUGACUAAAUAAAUUUAUUACUUAAUAUCUAAUAUUUUAAGAAAAACAAAAGUUAAAUUGAUUUUACCAAAGUCUAAAACUUAAUUAAGUCAGAUAAUUAAAAUAUGAUUAAUUGAAAGUUAUCUUAAGCACAUUAAAUUCUACCUCUUACCACCUAAAAUUAUUUCAUAUUUUACAGUAGUCAUAGAUUCGAGUUGUCCGGAAAAGGUAUAUAGGAUAUGCAUUCUUUUACUUAUAAACAAUGUAUAAAACAUAUAGGGUCAUGGAUUUCUUCUCUUUUUCAAUGUCGGAUAUCAUAAUAGGCACUUCUCUCAUGUGAAGAGGGACCCCGUAACGAGGUUGGCUCAUAUAAGAUAACUAUAUUGGAAAAUGGUCUCUACAUCUUAACUUUGGGUCGCGUCUAGAAGACGACAAACUACCGGUCAGUGUACAGCAGAAGAGAAAGUGAGACAGGAUACUUAUACAUCUCUUGAAAUUAAUUAGUCUUUGAGAAACAAAGAGGAAGAAGCAGCUCACAAUUCCUCCAAACAUCAUUGCAAACGUCAUAGCUCUGUUUCCCCAAAUUCGUCAUUACAAACGUCAUUCCAUACUCUGCCUUCCUUAUUUAAAGAGUCCCAUGCAGAUGCAGAUGCAGUUCGAAACACAAGUCAGAUUUGAUCAUCCUCUGCAUAGACCCAACCGAAGUAUCUCCACUUCAUCUUCUUCCCCUACAAUGACACAACCCCACUUCAUUGUGAUAACCUAUCCGGCACAAGGCCACAUCAACCCUUCUCUCCAACUGGCUAAGCGCCUCAUACGUGUUGGUGCCCAUGUCACAUUCGUCACUAGCACCUAUGCCAGUGAGCGCAUGGCCAAAACCCCAACCAUGGAUGGGUUAAAAUUCGUCACAUUCCCGGAUGGCUGCGACAGUGGCCUCAAGCAAAGCGAUGCCCUCCAAGGCUUCAUGUCUGAGCUUGAGCGUCUUGGCUCCCAAGCUCUUACCGACCUCCUCAUAGCCAGCGCUAAUGAAGGUCGUCCCGUUGCUUGCAUAAUCUACGGCAUCCUGAUUCCUUGGGUAGCAGAGGUGGCGCAUAGUCUUCACAUCCCCUCCGCACUUUUUUGGAGUCAACCUGUCUCUGUUUUUAAUAUCUAUUAUUAUUAUUUUUGUGGCUAUGGAGAGCUCAUUCGCAAGAAAGUCCGUGACUCCUCGCCUUCCAUUGAAUUACCAGGACUGCCCUUGCUCAGUAGCCGUGACAUUCCCUGUUUCCUACUCCCCUCAAAUGCAAAUGAAUACAACUUCGUCCUUUCAGCGUUUGAGAAGCACCUAGAGAUGCUCCACCGUGAUACCAACCCAACGGUACUGAUAAACACUUUCGAUGCAUUGGAACCAGAGGCCCUAAGGGCCGUCAGUAAGUUUAAGUCGAUUGGAGUUGGACCCUUGUUUCCAACCGCUUUCUUGGGUGGAAAAGAUCCAUCCGAUACUUCAUUUGGAGGUGAUCUUUUCCGUCGUUCAAAGGAUUAUAUUGAAUGGCUGAACUCAAAGCCUGAAUCUUCUGUCAUUUACGUGUCAUUUGGAAGCCUAGCGGUGUUAUCGAAGCAACAGUCUGAGGAGAUUGCUCGUGGAUUGCUGGACAGUGGCCGGCCUUUCCUGUGGGUCAUAAGAGCCAAGGAGAAGGGAGAAGAAGAGAAAGAAGAAGAUAAACUAAGUUGCUACGCAGAAUUAGAACAACAAGGGAUGAUAGUACCAUGGUGUUCUCAGGUUGAGGUUCUCUCAAAUCCAUCACUGGGUUGUUUCGUGACUCAUUGUGGGUGGAAUUCAACCUUGGAGAGCUUGGCUUCUGGGGUGCCAGUUGUGGCAUUUCCUCAGUGGACCGACCAAUCCACGAAUGCAAAGCUAGCCGAAGACGUGUGGAAAACGGGUGUACGGGUGACCGUGAACCAAGAAGGAAUAGUUGAAAGCGAUGAGAUUAAGAGGUGCUUGGAAUUGGUCAUGGGAGAUGGAGAGGAGGCGAAAGAAAUGAGAAGGAAUGCAAAGAAAUGGAAGGGUUUGGCAAGGGAGGCUGUGAUGGAAGGUGGAUCAUCUGACAAGAAUCUUAAGAAUUUUAUGGAUGAGGUCAUACAAGGUUACUAGCUAGAUAUUGUGGUUGUAUCUCUUGGAGUUUAUGUUAAGACUCCCCGAUUAAUUUAAAUAUUUUACAAGAAGAUUUUUAUUAUUUAUGAUGUUAAUACAAGUAGUAGUAUUAAUUAAUGGUAGAGGGCAUAUCUAAAAUUAUGGGAGAUUCAUUGCUUCCUGAAGGCCCUAUCACAAAGGAUCUGUCAAAUGCGUGGCUAAGGUGCUGUUUGGUAAAUGUCCGUUACCAGCCAAAAUUUUGCAAUUAUUGCUAAUGGGAAUCAGGGAAACCCCAAACUGGCCUUGAUGGUCCUUGCGUAAAGACCCAUCCAAUUCUUUACAUUGUGGCCACUGAUUUGGUGUCUUAUCCUCUCAUGCCCAUCACUUCAUGUUUACAAAUUGAUAUUGUAUUCAUAGCUAUUUUUGAUGAAGGUUCAAUUGGCAAGAAGUAUUUUUGCCUUGGGAAGAUGUUGGUUAUGGAUUCAAAGCAAAAUAACAGAUUAAAAAAAUGAUCCUUGUACAAAUUUUUGGGUGCCUCUAUUAAUUAAGUGAAUAUUAUUAUUUAAUUGAUAAAUUAAUAAUUUAUUAAUUUAAUUACUUAUUAAUUAAAUCUCUGGAAUAAUUCUAUUAUGGAACCUAUCUUGCACUAAGAAGCAUCCAUAGCGAUAAUAAUAUUAAAUAAAUUUUUGUUAUAGUACGAGAAUGUUACAUCAGACCUUUUUUUUUUUUUUUUUUUUUUCAUAUUAGGAAUAGUUGAAGAUGAGAUUCAAGUAAACAUCAGUUUUAAGAAGAAAUAACACAUAUAUUUUAAGAAGGAUUCUUGAUAAAACAUAUGAAUUUAAUUACACAUUAGAAAAUUAUUAAUUUCUAUAAUAUGUGGAUUUUAUAUGAAACUACAUAGAUUUUUUAUUUUAUAAAUUUAUCAAAUUAUUAGUUUAGCACGGUGGCCCCAAGUUUAGAUUAAUUAAAAAAAAUUAAUUGAAGUUCUUAAUUAAUUAAAUAUUAAAUUAUUAUAAAGUUUUAUUGUAUUUUAUUUUCAUGGUUCUAAAAAUUGGAUUGAACUAGUCGAUUUGAUUGGUUUGAGCAUUGAUUGACUAUGUAUUUUACAUAUGAGAUCGAUUAUGAGUUGCACUUUCAUCCCAAGGUAUUUUAAAAUUAGGAAAAUCAAUCCCAAGGUAUCUAUUUUUCUUUUCUUAGUCUAUUCACUAUUGUCCAAACACUCCAUAUGUGGAAUGUGGAAUGUAACUUGGAGGGGCUUGAAUAUGCAGAGUUUUAUAACUUUGCACAUUAAUGUCUCAAAGUGUUAAAAUCUUUUACAACUAAUUGUAGAUAAGUUUAGUAUUGACAAAUAAUUUUAUUACAAUUAAAUAAAAUAUUAGAAUUUUUUUAUUAUCCUACUAAUUUUAUGACAAUCAAAUUUAUACAAAAGUAAUUCUUGGUGUCUCGUGUUACUAAAAACAGAAACUCACUUAAGAACUCAUCACGCCUUUGGUGGAGAAAGAUACUUCAUGGGAUGCUAGUAUUAAUUCUCAAGCAGUGGACCUAGGUGAGAGUAAGAAGAAAACCAAAAUAGUAGAACACUCAUCUAAAUUGUCCCAAAAAAAUGGAGGACAAAAUUCCCAAGAAAGUUCAAUAAACAAGUACAAGAAAAGCCAUGAAAGCCCAUUAUUUUUGGAAACAAUGUCAAAUAUUGAAGAAAUUGUCAAAGCAAAAUAUUGAACUUUCAACUUUAGGCACUUAAACAUACUAAUAAGGGGGGGAAUGAACAUAUUACAUAUGACAGUCCUUUAUCGUCGUAUUGACUUUUUUGAUAUGGUGGUAAAGUAUGAAGUGCUUGCAAGAGGGCUAUUAUCAUAUAUGGAAAAUGAUGAGAAAUCCAUACUAUAUAUGGUGAGCUAGAAAAGAAAAAGGCAAGCUAGUGAAAAGAUGCAAAGCCUUGCACUCUAGUUACAAGACGAGUUGCUUUUGUUUGAGGUGCACUUCUACUCACCCAUUAGCCAUAAAUGUAUGCAUUAUUCACAUGCAUUCACUUGGGUCAAGCAUUUUAAUUGUUCAUCUUCAUUACCAAAAAGAAUAAGUUAUUAGCUAGCUAGGUGAUAGAUGAGAAAUAUGUAUCAAGUUAGAAAAAUGCUAAGUUACAUAAUAGGUAUCACACUGAAUUCUAAAUUUGAGCUACUAAUGUGUGGAACAAAACAUGGAUUGUAAAAUACCAAUACUAAAAGAUGAGACUUAGAUAUAAAGAAAUAAAAUAAAAUAAAGUAGAAAAAAAAUAUAAUCUUAGUAUAAUUAAUAAAUAGAAACUUGUUAGAUGCAUGAACAAAAAAGAUCAUUUUUCCACAUAUAUUGACUUUUUGUCAGCUAUCCCUUUUUUUUAUGAGGUAUGGAAAGCAAUUUCCCUAUCAUAGAAUGAUUAAUAAAUGCAUGGGAAAAUAAUUGAACACAUUAAUGAGAUUCAAAUUCAAGAUUCAUAAGCCAAGGUACCUAUUAAAAGCUGCUAGUUGACCUAUAAGUUUAAGCUGAUAGAAAAAUAAUGAUAUCAAGCUUACCAGGAUUAGAUGAAGGGAUUAUAAAAAAGAUAAAAAUAAAAUUAUUGUGUGCAUUCCAAGAAUAGCGACUUGUGAUUGUAUGAGUGGGUGCAAAAAGUGAAGUUAGCCUAUAAGAUUCAUUUCUCCAAUCCUCUCAACAAAGACCACUAGACUGCUAAAGAAUUAUUUGCUACUACAAAUGAGCAACUCCAUCAAGAAGCUAAGGAAUGGCUAAUGCUUACCAUAGAGAAUUGCACCACUCUUUCUAUUUUCAUAGCCACUGUUGCCUUUGCUACAACCUACAUGGUACCAGAGUAAAAAACUUAGAGAUAUGAAGAAAAGAAGAGAUGCGGAGCACCUAUUUGAGAGAAAAUCGGAGAGAUAAAAACUAAAAAAAUUGAACAACUUAGUAUCAUUGAUAAGAACUUUGUUUCUUAUAUACAAAUAUUCAGAAAUUAGUUACAAACAACUGAUUACUACUCAAAAAGUGCUAUUUGAUAGCUUAUAAUUAAUCCUUUUAAACACUUUUGAGUAGUAGUUUUGGCCUUUUAACUCAAUUGGCAUGUUAAGGACCCUUGAAAGCAAUUUUAAUCACUUUGUGUAAGUUUUGGUGUUUUUGUUAGUAUUUUGAUCACCAAAGCAAUUCAAGAUUGAGGAGAAUUUUGAGGAAUCUUGGGCAAAGAUUGGAAGUCAUUUGCCAAGAGUAAAUCCGAAGUGCAAGGAGAAAAAGUAAAGAGAAUCUGCCAUGAAGCAUAUUCUUGAUGACAGUCGUGGCAGCCACUUUUGGAGCACUUUCUGAAGUCCAAUUGAUGCAUGCUAUAUACCAUUUCAAAGAUCAGGAAGUCAACAAUCUAAUGCUUCAAACGGUGCACAAUUCGGAGUUGAAACGAAGAAGUUGCAGCCAUUGCAAGCCAAUCACUCCAAGCUGAAGGAAGCAUUUUCCAAAGUGUUGCGAAAUCACCCUUUUGUUGCGAAGUGAUUUCGCAGCAUUUUUGUACAGUAUGGUGUAUUUCCUCCUGAAGUUGCCCGAUAUAUGCCGCAAGCUGGAAGCUGAGAGCAUCAAGGUAGAAGCCAACUUCGCAGCCCUGCGAAGAUAGCAUGUUGUUGCGAAAUGAUUUCGCAGCCCUUCUUGAGUGUCUGCGAAAUCUCGCAGACACCAUUUUCUCUUGCGGAAUGGUUCCUGGAGCAUCCCGAUAUUUGCUACCGACAUUGGGAGAUAUUUUACAUCAGAUUUUUGUUGUCUAAAUCCCAAAAUACUCCUUGUAAGCCACCAAUUACAAGAUUCCUUAGCUUUAAGUUAGUAAAAAGAGAAAAUAUCUAUGUAAUAAUUAGUUUUAUAUUAUGUUCAUAUAAAUACCUCUCGGGAGCCUGUUCUCAGAGAGAGCCUUUUGUAAAGUUUUAGGUAAGCAAGUAAAGUUCAGUUCUUUGUAUUACCUUACCUUCUCACUUUGUAUAUUUUAUUUUCUUACUAAGUUAUGAACUCUCUGAGGAGUUUUCCCCAGAGAAUGAGUAACUAAACCUCUAAUUCCUUGGAGCUAAGGUUGCCGGGGAAGGUUCCAAGUGCAAGAAUGCAAAGCUUUGUGGUUUUAGCUAGUAAUGAAGAGGAAGUGAAAUCCUUUAGUGAUUUCUAUGUUUUUAGUUAACUUAAAACACCUUAGAGUCAUCUGGGCCAACACUUGGUAAGGCAAGUGAUUUCCAACCAUGGAAAUGCACUAGUUUACCCUUUGCGAGCCUCUGGAAGGUGACUUUAGGGUAGGAUUUUCUAGAAUAGCCAACACUUGGUAAGCUUUUGGACUCCAAGGAGACAUCCAUUAGUUAUCUCUUGCGAGCUUUUGAAGGGAAGUCCAAGGUUAAAGAUCAUCUUGAAUGGUAAGUGCUCGUGAGAGGCAUGAACCAUUGCAAGUUGUAUCAAUGAGAGAAUUAAAGUUGAAAUCCAAUUAAAGGAUGUAUCUGUACAACACCGGUUAGAGAAUUGACUAUAUGUUGAAUCUCUAACGCGAGGAAAGGAACCAUCUGACCGGAGCUAUGUCUUUUGCAUGAGGAACCACCCCAGUGAACCUAACUCUCCAAGGAAUGCUUUUCUUCCUAAGUUAUUCCGAGUACUUGUUAUGUUAGUUAGUUUAAAUCUUUACCAAUCAAAGUUUGUGUUUUAUUUCUUAAGCUAACCUUGAAAUGAAACAAGACCAAUUCACUUGGAAUUGGUAUCAUUGAUAGCUUGCUAAUCCUUCCCAGUGAACGAUCCUAGAGCCGUUAUACUAUAGUAGCUUUUUCUUUGCUACCCUAGUAUAUGGUGUUAUAGGUUAUAAAUUUUGUUGAUUACUCCCUCUAUCAAGGAGCACCAGUUGGACACGAAUCAGCUGAGACACCAAUUGGGCACGAAUCAAAUGGCGCCGUUGCCGGGGAAUGUGUCAAUUUUAUAGCGAUACCAUUUUUUAGCACUUGUGAUUGUCAUCACAAGUUUGGUAACGUUUCUUUCACUUUACUAAUUCUCAUUCUUUCUUUAUUUAUUCAUAAUCCAAGUUUAUCUUUUAAAUUCAGCUUAGUUUAAUUUUGUUUUUCGUAGCCCUGUUUUCUUUUGUUGUCCUUUAUUUUCAUUUUAGUUGCAGAUAGAUACUAGUUGUGUAUGCCAAAUUGGAUACGAGACAGUGGAGGAAGACUUGUUAAGUGUGAUACACCUCAUAACAAAGAAUUUGAGUUGAGCUUGAAUAUCAUGGAAACUACACCUGAAGAUCAGCAUAGUCACCAAGGUCGUCAAGACAAUCUCAAUGAAUUCAGAUCAAUGAGGGACCGUAUGCAUCCACCUCGUAUGAGUGCACCAUCAUGUAUAGUGCCCCCUACAGAGCAGCUAGUGAUCAGACCGUAUCUCGUUCCACUUCUACCAACUUUCCAUGGGAUGGAAAGUGAGAAUCCGUAUGCAUACAUCAAGGAAUUUGAAGAUGUUUGUAAUACAUUCCAAGAGGGAGGAGCUUCAAUUGAUUUGAUGAGGCUUAAGUUAUUUUCUUUUACUUUAAAGGAUAAAGCCAAAAUUUGGCUUAAUUCUUUAAGGCCAAGGAGUAUCCGUUCUUGGACUGACUUACAAGCUGAAUUCCUCAAGAAAUUUUUUCCCACUCAUAGAACAAAUGGCUUGAAAAGGCAAAUUUCAAACUUCUCAGCUAAAGAGAAUGAGAAAUUCUAUGAGUGUUGGGAAAGAUACAUGGAAGCUAUAAAUGCUUGUCUUCACCAUGGCUUUGAUACUUGGCUAUUGGUGAGUUAUUUUUAUGAUGGUAUGUCCUCCUCAAUGAAGCAACUCCUCGAGACAAUGUGUGGAGGAGAUUUCAUGAGUAAAAAUCCAGAGGAAGCUAUGGAUUUCUUGAGCUAUGUAGCUGAUGUUUCAAGGGGAUGGGAUGAACCAACCAAAGGAGAAGUGGGGAAGAUGAAGUCUCAACUGAGUGCUUUCAAUGCAAAGGCUGGGAUGUAUACCUUGAAAGAAGAUGAUGAUAUGAAAGCAAAAUUGGCAGCUAUGACAAGAAGAUUGGAGGAGCUGGAGCUGAAAAGAAUACAUGAAGUGCAAGCUGUUGCUGAAGCACCAGUGCAAGUGAAGCUGUGUCCCAAUUGUCAAUCAUAUGAACAUUUGGUGGAGGAAUGCCCUACAAUUUCAGCUGAAAGGGAGAUGUUUAAAGAUCAAGCAAAUGUUGUUGGACAAUUCAGGCCCAAUAACAAUGCGCCUUAUGGAUAUACCUACAACUCAAGUUGGAGGAAUCAUCCAAAUUUCUCAUGGAAGGCCAGAGCAACUCAAUACCAACAGCCGGAUCCACCACCUCAACAAACUUCAAGUCUUGAUCAAGCAAUGGCUAAUCUCAGCAAGGUAGUGGGAGAUUUUGUUGGAAAGCAAGAAGCCACCAAUGCUCAAAUCUAUCAAAGAAUUGAUAGAGUAGAGAGUAUGUUGAAUAAUAUGAUGGAUGGAAUGCAAAAUGAUAUGAACCAAAAGUUUGAUAACAUCCAAUAUUCAAUUUCAAGGCUUACAAAUUUGAAUACACUGCAAGAAAAGGGAAGAUUUCCUUCUCAACCCCACCAAAACCCCAAAGGUGUCCAUGAAGUGGAAAGCUAAGAGGGAGAAUCAUCACAGAUGAAAGAUGUCAAAGCCUUGAUCACUCUAAGGAGUGGUAAAAAAAUUGAGCAGCCAACACCCAAGCCACAUGUUGAGAAAGAAGAAGAAAUAAAGAAAGGGAAGGAAAUGAAAGAUAAAGACAGUGAGGUCAGUGAAGAAAAGAAGGACUCUGAUUCAACAAUGAAUGCAAUUCCAGAGAAGGAACUUAUGAAGGAAGAAAUGCUGAAGAAAUCAACUUCUCCACCUUUUCCUCAAGCAUUACAUGGGAAAAAGGGGGUUAGAAAUGCAGCUGAAAUCCUUGAAGUAUUGAGACAAGUGAAAGUCAAUAUUCCACUGCUGGAUAUGAUUAAACAAGUUCCAACGUAUGCAAAAUUCCUAAAGGAUUUAUGUACUAUCAAAAGAGGGUUGACUGUAAACAAGAAAGCCUUAUUGACUGAGCAAGUAAGUGCAAUCUUACAAUGUAAGUCUCCAUUGAAGUACAAAGACCCGGGAAGUCCUACCAUUUUAGUCAUGAUUGGAGGAAAGAUAGUGGAAAAAGCCUUGUUAGAUUUGGGAGCAAGUGUGAAUUUGCUUCCAUAUUCCGUCUAUAAGCAAUUGGGACUUGGUGAGUUGAAGCUAAUAGCAAUCACUCUAUCUCUAGCAGAUAGAUCAGUAAAAAUUCCAAGGGGGGUAAUUGAGGAUGUCUUGGUUCAAGUGGAUAAUUUCUACUAUCCAGUAGAUUUUAUUGUUCUUGAUACAGAUCCUACUGUAAAGGAAGCUAAUUUAGUUCCUAUCAUCCUUGGAAGGCCAUUUCUUGCUACCUCAAAUGCAAUCAUCAACUGCAGGAAUGGGCUGAUGCAACUCACUUUUGGCAACAUGACACUGGAUCUCAAUAUUUUCUAUAUGUCUAAAAAGCAAAUCACUCCGGAAGAAGAAGAGGGUCCAGAAGAGCUGUGCAUUAUUGAUACUUUGGUGGAGGAGCACUGUAAUCAAAAUAUGCAAGACAAGUUGAAUGAAAGUCUUGUGAAUUUUGAGGAAGGUUUGUCUGAAUCUCCUACUGUGCUUGCUACUCUACAAAGUUGGAGAAAGAUAGAAGAGAUUCUACCUUUGUUCAAUGAAGAAGAAGAGGCAGCUGCUGAAAAAGAAAUUCCAAAAUUCAAUCUGAAGCCUCUACCUGUGGAGCUGAAAUAUACAUAUCUUGAAGAAAAUAAUCAAUGUCCUGUUGUAAUAUCUUCAUCUCUGACCAGUCAUCAGAAGAAUUGUUUAAUGGAAGUUCUCAAGAGGUGUAAGAGGGCAAUAGGAUGGCAAAUAUCCGACUUGAAAGGCAUUAGUCCUUUAGUUUGUACUCAUCAUAUAUAUAUGGAGGAGGAAGCAAAGCCAAUUCGUCAACUUCAAAGAAGGUUGAAUCCUCAUCUACAAGAGGUGGUGCGAGCUAAGGUGCUGAAGCUACUUCAGGCAGGAAUCAUUUACCCUAUAUCUGAUAGCCCUUGGGUGAGUCCUACUCAAGUGGUACCAAAGAAGUCAGGGAUCACAGUGGUUCCGAAUGAAAAAGGAGAAGAAGUUACUACACGCCUCACUUCAGGUUGGAGGGUGUGUAUUGAUUAUAGAAAGUUGAAUGCUGUAACCAGGAAGGAUCAUUUUCCAUUGCCAUUUAUUGACCAAGUGCUGGAGAGAGUCUCUGGACAUCCAUUCUAUUGUUUCUUGGAUGGGUAUUCAGGGUAUUUUCAGAUUGAAAUUGAUGUGGCAGAUCAGGAAAAGACCACUUUUACAUGUCCAUUUGGAACAUAUGCUUACAGGAGAAUGCCUUUUGGUUUAUGCAAUGCACCUGCUACAUUUCAAAGAUGUAUGUUGAGUAUUUUCAGUGAUAUGGUGGAACGAAUUAUGGAGGUUUUCAUGGAUGACAUCACUGUAUAUGGAGGUACAUUUGAGGAAUGCUUAGUUAAUUUGGAAGCAGUUCUUCACAGAUGCAUUGAAAAAGAUCUGGUGCUCAACUGGGAGAAAUGUCAUUUUAUGGUACGUCAAGGAAUUGUCCUUGGUCAUAUCAUCUCUAAAAGAGGCAUUGAAGUUGAUAAAGCAAAGGUGGAGCUUAUUGUCAAAUUACCAUCCCCAACAACUGUAAAAGGAGUAAGGCAGUUCCUUGGCCAUGCAGGGUUCUAUAGGAGAUUUAUAAAAAGGUUUUUCAAGUCUUUCAAAACCUCUUUGUGAGCUGUUAGCUAAGGAUGCUAAAUUUAUAUGGGAUGAAAGGUGUCAGAAUAGCUUUGAUCAACUGAAGAAAUUUUUAACAGCAACUCCAAUAGUGAGAGCCCCUAACUGGCAAUUACCUUUUGAACUGAUGUGUGAUGCCAGUGACUUUGCUAUAGGAGCUGUGCUUGGCCAAAGGGAAGAUGGGAAGCCCUAUGUGAUUUACUAUGCAAGUAAAACACUGAAUGAAGCUCAAAGGAACUACACAACUACAGAGAAAGAAUUGUUAGCUGUGGUAUUUGCUUUGGACAAAUUUCGUGCUUAUUUAGUGGGGUCUUUCAUCAUUGUCUUUACUGACCAUUCAGCCUUGAAGUAUUUAUUGACAAAGCAAGAUGCAAAAGCAAGGUUGAUUAGAUGGAUUCUUUUGUUACAAGAAUUCGAUCUUCAAAUCAAAGAUAAGAAAGGAGUGGAGAAUGUGGUAGCUGACCACCUUUCCAGGUUAGUUAUAGCACAUAAUUCCCAUCCCUUGCCUAUUAAUGAUGAUUUUCCUGAAGAAUCACUCAUGUUCUUAGUGAAAACUCCUUGGUAUGCUCAUAUUGCUAAUUAUUUAGUAACUGGUGAAAUUCCAAGUGAGUGGAAUGCACAGGACCGGAAGCACUUCUUUGCCAAAAUUCAUGCUNNNNNNNNNNNNNNNNNNNNNNNNNNNNNNNNNNNNNNNNNNNNNNNNNNNNNNNNNNNNNNNNNNNNNNNNNNNNNNNNNNNNNNNNNNNNNNNNNNNNCCCUAACUGGCAAUUACUUUUGAACUGAUGUGUGAUGCCAGUGACUUUGCUAUAGGAGCUGUGCUUGGCCAAAGGGAAGAUGGGAAGCCCUAUGUGAUUUACUAUGCAAGUAAAACACUGAAUGAAGCUCAAAGGAACUACACAACUACAGAGAAAGAAUUGUUAGCUGUGGUAUUUGCUUUGGACAAAUUUCGUGCUUAUUUAGUGGGGUCUUUCAUCAUUGUCUUUACUGACCAUUCAGCCUUGAAGUAUUUAUUGACAAAGCAAGAUGCAAAAGCAAGGUUGAUUAGAUGGAUUCUUUUGUUACAAGAAUUCGAUCUUCAAAUCAAAGAUAAGAAAGGAGUGGAGAAUGUGGUAGCUGACCACCUUUCCAGGUUAGUUAUAGCACAUAAUUCCCAUCCCUUGCCUAUUAAUGAUGAUUUUCCUGAAGAAUCACUCAUGUUCUUAGUGAAAACUCCUUGGUAUGCUCAUAUUGCUAAUUAUUUAGUAACUGGUGAAAUUCCAAGUGAGUGGAAUGCACAGGACCGGAAGCACUUCUUUGCCAAAAUUCAUGCUUAUUAUUGGGAAGAGCCCUUUCUUUUUAAGUAUUGUGCAGAUCAGAUCAUAAGGAAGUGUGUUCCUGAAGAUGAGCAGCAAGGGAUUCUAUCUCAUUGUCAUGAGAAUGCAUGUGGAGGCCACUUUGCCUCUCAGAAAACAGCUAUGAAGGUGUUGCAAUCAGGGUUUACUUGGCCAUCUCUUUUCAAAGAUGCCCACAUCAUGUGUAGAAGUUGUGACAGAUGCCAAAGGCUUGGAAAGCUAACAAAAAGAAAUCAAAUGCCUAUGAACCCCAUUCUAAUAGUUGAGCUAUUUGAUGUAUGGGGCAUUGACUUCAUGGGACCUUUCCCAAUGUCUUUUGGUAAUUCUUACAUCUUGGUGGGGGUGGAUUAUGUUUCUAAAUGGGUUGAGGCAAUCCCCUAUAAACAAAAUGAUCACAGGGUGGUUCUCAAGUUUCUUAAAGAGAACAUUUUCUCAAGAUUUGGGGUGCCCAAAGCCAUAAUCAGUGAUGGAGGUGCUCAUUUUUGCAACAAACCUUUUGAAGCUCUGUUAUCCAAGUAUGGAGUGAAGCAUAAGGUGGCUACACCUUAUCAUCCUCAGACUUCCGGGCAAGUUGAGCUAGCUAACAGGGAAAUAAAGAACAUAUUGAUGAAAGUGGUGAAUUCCAGUAGAAAAGAUUGGUCUAUUAGGCUUCAUGAUUCAUUGUGGGCAUAUAGAAUAGCUUAUAAGACUAUUCUUGGGAUGUCUCCUUAUCUUCUUGUCUAUGGCAAAGCAUGCCAUCUCCCUGUGGAAGUUGAAUACAAGGCUUGGUGGGCAAUAAAGAAGUUAAACAUGGAUUUGGUCAGAGCCGGAGAAAAGAGAUAUCUAGACCUUAAUGAGAUGGAGGAAUUAAGAAAUAAUGCUUAUAUCAAUUCCAAAGUUGCAAAACAGAGGAUGAAGAAGUGGCAUGAUCAACUCAUCUCCAACAAGGAAUUUCAGGAAGGGCAAAGAGUUUUACUGUAUGACACAAGACUCCAUAUCUUUCCUGGGAAGCUCAAGUCAAGGUGGAUAGACCCGUUCAUUAUUCACCGAGUAUAUUCCAAUGGAGUGGUGGAAUUAUUGAAUUCAAAUGGCAAGGAUAGCUUUAGAGUCAAUGGAUAUCGUCUCAAGCCAUUCAUGGAUCCAUUCAAACCAGAAAAGGAGGAAAUCAACCUCCUUGAGCCUCGAAAAGCCUAAGCAAAGAAGGGUUUGCUGGACGUGGUUUACCACAGUCCAAAAUUUUUGUAAAUUUUGUAAAUUUUCAAGUUUUUUUUCCAUACAUUUGAUCUUAGUUUUUGAUCUUAAAUCAUGUUUUUAGGUGUGUUUUAAUCUUUUUGAAUGAUCCCAGGUGGAAGAAAUUGCAAGGAAAUUGAAAGGAAAAGAAUCGGAUAAAAAACAGAGCAAAAACAGAGCAAAAAACAGAGCUCUGCGAGAUUUCGCAGCCUCUGCGAAAUCAGCACUAUGCUGCAAAACCAUUCCGCAACACUUUGGAGUUCUCUGCGAGAAUUUUCGCAGCUGCGAAGGCGAUUUUGGCACACGAGUGCCACUUUGCAGCACAGGAGCCCUCAUUUGGCAGCUGCGAAACGCAUUGCGAAGUGGUAAAGCCUGAUUUCGCACCAAAAGUCCCAUUCCGCAGGGUAUUUUGCAAUUGCGAAAGCGAUUUUGGCACACGUGUGCCACUUCGCAGCACAGUAACAUUAAUUUCGCAGCUGCGAAAUGCAUUGCGAAGUUGCUGCGAAAAUGACAUUUUGCUGCGAAAUUGGCAUUUUGCUGCGAAACUCAAACUGACCCUUAGUCUUCCCUUAUUCCUAUUUAUACCGGUCAUUUGAGUUGCGAAAAGGGUUUCAAAAUCAGAGCGCGCCAUUCUCGCAGACCGUCCAUCUCCUUCUUCAAGCCUCACCGCGCAAGCCUCCGGUCAUCUUCUCCGACCAUCCGUUCCGGCCAAACUUCGGUAAUCCGAAAUGGCGCGAACAAGAGGGGCUAAGUCUCCAUCUCCUUCGAGCCGCAAGAGAAGCUUGCGAAAGGAACCAGUUCCAGAUCCUAUCCCUGACCCUCCGCAGCCGAAAGCAAUUCCUCCUCCGGUGAAGCCCGCGCUGCCAAAGCCUCCGGUAAAGCCCGCGCCGCCAAAACCUCCGGCAAAACGAUACCUAACCAGGUCAGGGGGUCGGCCACUGCAAAAGAAACCCAGGGUGGAGAGCUUAGAACCCAUCGAUUUGACUGAGCAAUCUCCAGAGCCCUCGCCGGCUCCAACUCCAGUUCCCUCGCCAAUUCAGCCUCCGGUGCCAUCUCCGACGCCGCAAGCAAAAUCUCAGGAGACUCAAGCGCCACUUCCCGAGCCCCAAAUUCCAUCUGAAAUAGCUCCGGAAGAAGUAAUCAGGAGGCCGAUGCUGACCCAGCUCCCAAUUGAGGGAAAUUUGGAUUGUAGAACUCGGCCAUUCCACUCCGAGCUAGGCUUUGACAUAUCUACAUUCCAAUUGCAGCCGGAGCUUGCACAGUCAUUCAACCUUCUAAGAAGGUACCAUAUGGAGCAUCUGCUGACUCCGAGAGACUUUUUCUACCCAAGGGUGGCCAUGGAUUUCUAUCAAUCCAUGACAACCAACCAGGUCAGGGAUCCAACUUUAAUUCAUUUCACUAUUGAUGGGAGGCAUGGCAUAUUGGGAGCACGCCAUAUAGCUGAAGCCUUGCAAAUUCCCUAUGAGCCGACCCAAUUCGAUAAUUUUAGAGCUUGGACCAAUCCUACUGAGCUGGAGAUGGUGCGCACCCUAUCCAGAGGAGCUGCCAAUCGAUCAUAUCUGUUGAGGGGGGAGCUUCCUCCAAUCAUGUUUUUGAUUGAUGCAUUUUUGCGUCAUAACCUCUACCCAUUGCAGCAUUGGACUCAAAGAAGAGGAGUCCUCUUAGAAGCCCUGUACAAGAUGUCUGAAGGAUUUUUCUUUGGGCCUCAUCAUCUGAUUCUGGCAGCCCUUCUCUAUUUCGAAGAGAAGGUACACAAAAAGAAGCUUCAGAGAGCUGAUUGCAUUCCCCUCCUCAUUCCAAGGCUGCUAUGCCAAAUUCUGGAGCACUUGGGGUAUCCUUCUGAACCUCAAUUGGAGCGCAAACGCAUUUGCCGUGAGCUUUUCACUCUUAACAAAUGGAACAACAUGACAGCUUAUCGAGUUGACCAGCCUGAGCGCCCACAGCCAGCUGUAAGGAGAGCAUCCCCACGACACAUACCUGAGGGUAUAACAGUUGCUGCUCCUGCCAUUUGCAGAGCUCCACCAGCUGCUCCAGCUUCAUCUCAGCCAUCCACUUCAGCUGAGCCGAGGAUGGCCAUACCCAUUUCUGAAUAUCGAGAGUUGUGCCGUGCAUUGCAGACCCUCACAGCUUCUCAGAGCAGUCUUGCUCAAGAGAUGGCAGCCAUUAGAGCAUGCCAAGAGCAGAUGUUGGCCACUCAGGCUCAACAAGCUGCCAUCUUAAGGCAGCUCCAGCUUCAUUUCAACCUGCCACCAGCUGUUGAGCCCUCCACUUCUACUCCAGCAGAGCCACACUCUCAUCCCUCAGAGCCUCAAGCCCCAGCUGAAGCACCAACUGAAGAGGCAGAUCCAUCUGCCUAGCCCCAGCACCACCCACUCAUCAGAUCAUUAUAUAUAUAUCUACUAUCUUUGUUUUAUGUAUUUCGUUUUUUAGUUUGAAAGAAAUCCCAUUAUUUUGGUAUUAUAUUUGGGAUUGCUUGUAUUACUUUUCUUUUGCAUUGUACUUAAAUGGAUUCAAAGUAAUACAAGUUUAAUAUUUCUUGUUAACAGUUAGCAUUAAGUUAUCCUUAUUUCCUUUUCUCACAUAUUCUAUUCUUUUUGAAACAUGUGGUUUCUCCAAUUAGUAUGCGAAUUUGAUAUCACACAGGAGGUACCACUUCCUCCCUUUAAUUACAGUCACUCAUAUCACAUUGAGGACAAUGCUCAGUUCGGUUGGGGGGAAUGAGGAAGGAAGUUAUGCUAAAUUAAAGGAAGUAUGCUAAGCCUUUUUAGUAAUGCAAUUAUUUUGGUAAAUUAGUUGUAGUUUUUGUUUUUUACUCUUUUUACUCUAUUCUCCAUGAAUCUUGAGGAAAAAUUUUCAAAUUAAAACAGGAAAAAUUGAACUGUUGUUUUUCACUUGACUUAGAGUAUGGAUUAUGCUCACUAAAGUGGUUCAAUUGUUGAAGCUUCUAUUGAAAUUGAAUUUAGUUCUUCCACUUUAAGCUAUUCACACACUGUGCACAUUAGAUUCCGAUUAUAAGAUGAAAAACUAUUUCCCUCUUGACUUAGGAUAAUUUUGGGACUUGGUAUAUUUGACCUCAUUUGAUAAAAAUUGAAACACCCUGCAAAAGGCCAAUGAGCCUUUGAAAUAAAGAAAGUUGUUUGCUUGCCUUAAAACCCGAGCAAGGUCUGAGAGGUAUAUGGUGAAAAUCUUUGAAGCCUGGUGCCCUAAGCCUUAAUUGGUUGGGAGUCACCGACCUCAAUGCUCGUUACAAGGGUGAAUAGGUAGAGUAGCAUAUGGUAGGUGCUUGGGUAUUAAAAAUUCAUUCUCAAAAGUCCGGGGAAAAAUCCGAGGAGUUAGUGGUUGAAAGAUCCUUAAAGCUUGGUGCCCUAAACCUUAAUUGGUUGGGAGUCAUCGAUGGACCCCCAUUACAUGGACAAUACAGAAAGAGUACCCCAUAAGUUCUUUGUUAAAAAAAAAAAAAAAAAAAAAAAAGUGUGUUCUUUCUUUAUUGAUUUUGGUCAGUUUGCUAAGUGUUGAAAAGAGAUAGGUUGGGGGGAGAGAUUAGUUUAGCAUAUUAUUCUCGGAAGCUAAGGAACCAAUACACAUAGAUUUUUGAGGAAGAAUAAAGUUUGGUUCUUUGAAAGUGGAAAUGAUUUUAAAACUUCAGUUUGCAUAAUGCAUUCCCUUGUUUGACAGUGUUUAGCAUAGUUUGUUAUAACUCUUGUUGAAAUUUGCUUUUAUAUUUCUUUAAGGUUUCAUGAGAGAAUUAGAUCAUCAUGCCACUUGAGAAUUGUUUUUGAUCAGCAUGAUGUUGUAAAUUAUAGUUUAAUUUGUUGUUUAUUUUCAUUUUUCUCUCCUAUAUUGCUAAGGGACUAGCAAUAUGUCGGUUGGGGGGAGUGAUUACUACUCAAAAAGUGCUAUUUGAUAGCUUAUAAUUAAUCCUUUUAAACACUUUUGAGUAGUAGUUUUGGCCUUUUAACUCAAUUGGCAUGUUAAGGACCCUUGAAAACAAUUUUAAUCACUUUGUGUAAGUUUUGGUGUUUUUGUUAGUAUUUUGAUCACCAAAGCAAUUCAAGAUUGAGGAGAAUUUUGAGGAAUCUUGGGCAAAGCUUGGAAGUCAUUUGCCAAGAGUAAAUCCGAAGUGCAAGGAGAAAAAGUAAAGAGAAUCUGCCAUGAAGCAUAUUCUUGAUGACAGUCGUGGCAGCCACUUUUGGAGCACUUUCUGAAGUCCAAUUGAUGCAUGCUAUAUACCAUUUCAAAGCUCAGGAAGUCAAUAAUCUAAUGCUUCAAACGGUGCGCAAUUUGGAGUUGAAACGAAGAAGUUGCAGCCAUUGCAAGCCAAUCACUCCAAGCUGAAGGAAGCAUUUUCCAAAGUGUUGCGAAAUCACCCUUUUGUUGCGAAGUGAUUUCGCAGCAUUUUUGUACAGUAUGAUGUAUUUCCUCCUGAAGUUGCCCGAUAUAUGCCGCAAGCUGGAAGCUGAGAGCAUCAAGGUGGAAGCCAACUUCGCAGCCCUGCGAAGAUAGCAUGUUGUUGCGAAAUGAUUUCGCAGCCCUUCUUGAGUGUCUGCGAAAUCUCACAGACACCAUUUUCUCUUGCGGAAUGGUUCCUGGAGCAUCCCGAUAUUUGCUAUCGACAUUGGGAGAUAUUUUACAUCAGAUUUUUGUUGUCUAAAUCCCAAAAUACUCCUUGUAAGCCACCAAUUACAAGAUUCCUUAGCUUUUAAGUUAGUAAAAAGAGAAAAUAUCUAUGUAAUAAUUAGUUUUAUAUUAUGUUCAUAUAAAUACCUCUCGGGAGCCUGUUCUCAGAGAGAGCCUUUUGUAAAGUUUUGGGUAAGCAAGUAAAGUUCAGUUCUUUGUAUUACCUUACCUUCUCACUUUGUAUAUUUUAUUUUCUUACUAAGUUAUGAACUCUCUGAGGAGUUUUCCCCAGAGAAUGAGUAACUAAACCUCUAAUUCCUUGGAGCUAAGGUUGCCGGGGAAGGUUCCAAGUGCAAGAAUGCAAAGCUUUGUGGUUUUAGCUAGUAAUGAAGAGGAAGUGAAAUCCUUUAGUGAUUUCUAUGUUUUUAGUUAACUUAAAACACCUUAGAGUCAUCUGGGCCAACACUUGGUAAGGCAAGUGAUUUCCAACCAUGGAAAUGCACUAGUUUACCCCUUACGAGCCUCUGGAAGGUGACUUUAGGGUAGGAUUUUCUAGAAUAGCCAACACUUGGUAAGCUUUUGGACUCCAAGGAGACAUCCAUUAGUUAUCUCUUGCGAGCUUUUGAAGGGAAGUCCAAGGUUAAAGAUCAUCUUGAAUGGUAAGUGCUCGUGAGAGGCAUGAACCAUUGCAAGUUGUAUCAAUGAGAGAAUUAAAGUUGAAAUCCAAUUAAAGGAUGUAUCUGUACAACACCGGUUAGAGAAUUGACUAUAUGUUGAAUCUCUAACGCGAAGAAAGGAACCAUCUGACCGAAGCUAUGUCUUUUGCAUGAGGAACCACCCCAGUGAACCUAACUCUCCAAGGAAUGCUUUUCUUCCUAAGUUAUUCCGAGUACUUGUUAUGUUAGUUAGUUUAAAUCUUUACCAAUCAAAGUUUGUGUUUUAUUUCUUAAGCUAACCUUGAAAUGAAACAAGACCAAUUCACUUGGAAUUGGUAUCAUUGAUAGCUUGCUAAUCCUUCCCAGUGAACGAUCCUAGAGUCGCUAUACUAUAGUAACUUUUUCUUUGCUACCCUAGUAUAUGGUGUUAUAGGUUAUAAAUUUUGUUGAUUACUCCCUCUAUCAAGAAGCACCAGCUAGACACGAAUCAGCUGAGACACCAAUUGGGCACGAAUCAACAACUAACAACCUAUUAACUACUUAACAACUCUAACUAACAUCCAACCUCAAGCACAUAGGGUGAGAAAGAACUAUGAGCUUGCUCUAGAGAUGAAGGAAAUGCUGAGUGGAGAGAGCUUUGGUUAAGAUAUCAACAGCUUGGUCUCCAAAUGGAAGAAAUCAAACAUCAAAAGUUUUCUACGGGACUCAUUCUUAAACAAAAUGAUAAUUAAUUUCCACAUGUUUAGCCCGAGAAUGAAGGACAAGAAUUACAGCCAAAUAACAUGAACUAAAACAGGGGAACAAAGGGCUCUUUAAGAAAGGAUUGAAUCUAAGUGAGUACGACCGUUGCAUUGGCCAAGCCCCUAUACUCGGACUCGGUAUAAGAGUGUGAACCACCUUUUGUUUAGAAGCUGACUAAGAGACCAGAUUACCACAAAAAAAAAACAAAAAAAAAAAACAAAACACAGUAGCCACUAGUGCUACGUCUAUCAUUAGGGCAAGAUACCCAAUCGACAUUUGUAUAAGCAACAAGAUUGAGUGAGGAAGAUGGUUGGAAAAAAAAAACCCAUAAAACAACAAACCUUUGAGAUAACAAAUAACAUGCUUCAUAUCUUGAAAAUGAGUAGAGGUUGGAGCAUGCAUAAAUUGGUAAAUCUUAUUAACAGUAUAAGGAGUGUUUGGUCUAGUGAUUUUGCAAUACUGAAGGGCACCUACAAGACUCUAAUAGAAAGUGGGAUCCUCUAAUUUGGUACCAUCAACUAUGAAUAAAACAAGACCAGUAGCCAUUAAAGAAGCAACAAGCUUUGAUUCCAACAAAUCAACAUGCUGAAGAAGAUCACAAAUGUAUCUAUCUCGGCUUAAAUGCAAAGAAAAUCCAAAAUUGAGCACCUCUAUUCUAAGAAAGAAAUUGAGAGGACCAGAUUCUUGAGAGCAAAGCAAGAGUUUAAGGAAGAUAUAAGUUGUUCAAUGAGCAAGGAAUUUGAAUUAGUGACAAUAAUAUCAUCGAUAUAAACUAAGACAACAAGCAUGAUAGAAUUGUUAUGGUAACCAAACAUUGAUGUAUCUACUUAAGAUAUGGAAAAACCCCAUUUAAAUAAUGCAGAAUUCAGUUUCGUGAACCAAGCCCAUGGAGUUUGCUUCAAGCCAUACAAGGCCUUGGUAAGCUUACAAACAAAAUUGGGCUUAGAAGGAUCCACAAAACCCGGGGGUUGUAUCUAAAAACUUGCUCAAAUAAAUCACCAUUAUGAACAUCAAGUUGUUGGAUAGACCAAUUUCUACUCAAUGCCAAAGAGAGAACCACACUAAAGGUUUAACCACAAAACUAAAGGUUUCAAAGAAAUCAAAACUGUGAGUUUGAUGGAAUCCUUUCACCACUAAAUGUGCCUUAUAACAAUCAAUAGUUCCCUUAGGUUUAAACUUCAAUUUAUAAACCCACUAACAUCCAAUGGUAUUCUGAUUAGACGGAGGAGGAACCAUGACGUAUGUUUUAUUUUUCAUAAGAGCUUCAAAUUCAAGAUGCAUAGCCUAUUGCCAUUCAGGAACUUUAGCAGUUUCCUUAAAGGAAUCUAGUUCACAAAGUGGAGGAAAAAUAGUCUUAGUAGGAGACAAAUAUAACUUGAGUUCGAAAAUGCCAUUUUUGGCACGUAUUAUCAUGAGAUGACAAGGAGUAAGAACAUAAGAGGAAAGAGGUUGGGUUGUUGGAAUUGCUGUAACCUUAGAAAAGGAAAUUGACACACUAGAAUUAGAUAUUGGAACCAACUUUGAAGGUGGACAUAAUGGGGGAGGUAAGAGGGAAGGUAUUGGAGAUGAUGGUACUACCAAGGGAAUGACACAAUGAGAGGGGGAAACAGAAUAAGAAGUUUGAACUAUGGAAGACUUAGCAAAUCGGAAAUCUAGUUCAUAAAAAAUAACAUGUCGUGAUAUAUGUAUUUUAUGAUUGGACAUGUUUAAAUAAAGAUAUCCUUUAUGCUUAGAACUAUAGCCAAUAUUUUAACGGAUUGAUAUGCAAGUUUAUGACAAUUAAAAUGAUGUAGAAAAGGAUAACAAAUGUAGCCAUAGACAUGAAGAAAAUAAUAAUUUGGUAGACAAUGGUAAAGAGUCUUAUACGGAUCGAGAAGAGAUAUUCAACAUAGAGGUAGGAAGUCUAUUAAUCAAAUAUAAGGUAGAUUGGAAAACAAAAGGUCAAUAUUUAAGUGGAAUAGAAGCACGAGCAAGCAAAGAAAGACCUAUUUCAACCACAUGUCUAUGUUUUCUCUCCACAUGACCAUUUUGUUGAAAAGUAGAUGGACAAGAUAUUCUAUGCAGAAUCCUAAAUUUACAUAAAGUAUCAAUAAAGGCUUGAAACUCCCCUCCCUAAUCAGUUUGAAGCACUCUUAACUUUAGUGUCAAAUUGAGUCUCAGUUAUCACUUUAAAUUGCAAAAAAACAGAGAUAGCUUGAUUUUUAAAAGCUAGUAGAUACAACCCCAAGAAAAUCUUGUAUGGUCAAUUGGAAAAAAGUACAAAGUAUCUUGCAUCAUUAGCACCAACAAUAACGGUAGGACCCCAUAGAUCAAAAUGUAUAAGAGCAAAAGGCUAAGAGACUCUGGAUUUAGACAAAGUAAAAGGUAAGUGAUGACUCUUUGCCAUUUGACAAGGUUCACAAAUACCUAUCCAAUGUUCUGAGGGCAUACUACAAUCACUCAAAACUUUAUUCACUAUUUUACGUGCAAGAUGGCCUAAUUAAAAUGUCAUAGAGCUACCUUAUUGGGAAGUUGUAAUGCAAAUAACAUACACGGGACCUCAAUUGCCAAGCUUGUUCUUCUAACAAUUUUAUUACCUUUAGAAUCUAUAUUUUUUUUACCAGAAACUGAAGAUGACAAUUUGUAUAAACCAUGGUUAAGGUUGCCUUGGAGAAGAGCCUUCUUUGAAGCUUGAUCCUUCAUCACAAAUCCAUUAGUAAAGAAUUCCAUAGUAACAUUAUUGUUAGUACACAACCUAUUCACACUUAUCAAAUUGGUUGUAAGUUGUGGAACAUGUAGAAUAUUCUUUAGAUUUAAAGACUGAGAAACUGACAAAAUAGUAGAGUAUCCAAUAUUUGAGAUAUUUAAGCAACUACAGUUUCCAACGACAACUUUGUCCAAACCAGCAAAUGGAGUAUGUGCAUUCAAGUUCUUGAAAUUUAAAGUUAGGUGAUAUGUAGCUCUAGUAUCCAUGUACCAACUUCCAUCUGCAAUAGUGGCCAGAGUUGCAAUCAUUGCAGCAAGAUGAGGUUACUCAAUUCUUAGGGUUCUUUUUCCUCAUUGGUUUUUGACUCGGAUGAGUUAACUUAGUUCCUAGAGCUCUUCCUCAAUGACAAACAAUUUUGAUUAGAGUGUGGCAAGGAGUUCAAUGAGCAAGCUGGUGAUUGAUCAAGGCCUCACUAGUGAUGAGGACGUCGGUGAUAGCAACAAUCUAGUUGGAGAAACGAUUUUUUCCAACACCCUCAAACACCGCAAAAAUGAUCAUAUCGUCAUCAUGAUCUUAGAUAAGAGAAACUUAAAGUUUUGUUUAUUCCAAUUUCAAAUUGAAAACAAAAUUGUAGAGCACUAGAUACAAAAUAAAAAAAAAAUAAAAGAACGAAAAAUCACUAUAGAAACCUUAGAAAACACACUAGGAAGAAAAAUCAUAGACAAACUCACAGAAGAAUUUUAUGGCUUUAGGAGUUGGAGCCGGAGUUGGAGAAGAGUCUUAAUGGACAUUGAGGAAGGACAAGAAGAGGUGUUCAACUAUAAUUUAUGUAGGCUAUAUUGUAAAGGUUGGCUUUAAAAUGUAUCUAGUAGCGACCUAAUUAGGGUUCAAAGUAUCGGCCAAGUCUGAUACGACUCGGCCGAGUCAUAUCUGUCUCGACACUUGUCGCAACGAGACCGAUACCAGAUACAAUAUAAUGCAUGAACUCGACUGGGAAUCGGUUAGACUUUGCUAAGUUUUCGAGUUAACUCGGUUGACUCGGUUAGGUUAUAAAGAAUUUUCAAAUUUUUCAUAAAAUUGAAAAUAAUAAUAAUAAUAAAUCAGAGAUUGCCCUUUCAAAAGCAAACACCUAUUUUAAAAUUUUAAACCAUCAAUGAGAAGAUCAAAGAAGACCAAGAAGAAAAAACCUAACCUGUGACUCGUUCGGAAAUAAGUGGAGAAACCACCAAAGGAUGAGGGCAUAAUUUAGGAUUUACUUACUUGAUUUUCCUCAAAAUCGAGCAUUACCGAAGGGUGGAGCUUUGGUGUCGGCGAUGGUGACUCAUCAAGUGGAUUGAAUCUUUCACCGGGGACAUCAACAAGACAACCCCCUCAUAGUCAGAUUGCUCCCCCUCCCGUGUUAGGUCUUGCACGGUUGCAAAUUUGCGAUUGUAGGUGGUAUCGUCUAUUUUGGGUCUUGACAGUAAUGAUGACGUGCGAGGGUGGGAGAUUGGGAGCUUAAAUUAGUAAAGUAAAAAAUUGCAUUUUAUAUGGAUUUACAUGGAGAAUUGAGUCCCUGAUUUACAUGGAAAAUACCUUUCAUAUACACACUUUAAUAUGAUUUAAUAGUAACAUAUUAGGAGAAUUGAGUACCCGAUUUGCUAAAGUAAAAUGAUAUGAAAGGUAUAGAUGAAGUUUAAUGAUAAAUUAAAGUGUUUAUAUAGCAAAGUGAAAAUUAAAUCCUCAAUUUUUAAUAUUAUCACAAAAUAACUUUGAGCUAAAUGUGAAAAAAAAAUGGUUUUAUUAAAAUUUUCACCUUAUUUAAUUAUAUCUAUUUUAUUUUUUGAUUUAUAUAAUAUUUUUAUAAUUUUUUGAAAAUUUUAAUUAUCUUAUUUUACGUAUCGUCCAAUACCGAACCGAAACACUGAAACCAAUAUGCCUCGUGAUCCUCCGAGUCAAUGAUCGAUACCACGACUUUGAACCAUGGACCCAAUGGAAGUGGAGUCUAUAGGAACAUCUAUGGUAACGAUCCAAAAAUUAUUGCAGGCAUAAGAGAAUAUAUAAUAGCACUUUCAACAGUAAUCAUGACUAUGUAUCUUUCCUGGAAAUUUCCCACCAAUCCCAAUCCCAACCCCUUUAGAUGCAUGUGGUUGGAAUAUGCAUGAAGCUAUAUAUUACGUGGUUGGGAUAUGAAUGAGGCUAUAUACUAUUUUUAGUUGUGGAUUUUCUUAGCCCCUACUAAAACUAUGUCGCCAUUUCCUAUUCUUCUUGUAAUGUCAAGUUGGAAAGUUAAAUUUAAUUUAAAAACUUUCUAAAUAUUAAAUUUAGAGUUAGUUUCUAAAUGUUAAGGAGAACAUUUUAUUUUGAAUGAUUAUUUAGUUUUUGUAUUUGAGUAUUCAAGUCCUGAAAGGUCUCUAUAUUUCAUUAUUAAGAUUUUCUAUUUAGACAAAUGUGAGUAUAUUUAUAAACAAAAAAUUAUAUAAUAUAUACAUUUUUUAUAAAAAAAAAAAGCAAUAAAAUACAAUAAAAUUUUAAUUCUCUCCUAUUUUUAUCUUUUUUAUAAGUGUGUGUUUAUCUUUCAUCUAGAUAACUCACACAAUACUAACACAAUGAGAGUAAAAGGAGAAGGGCAAUAAAGAGUUGGGGCCGGAGAUCAUUGGAGGAACGGGUCAACUGUAGGCCGGUUGUCAAUGGGCUCAUAUAAGUAACAAAAAUUGGAAAUGGUUUCUAUAUCUUAGUGUCGUGUCUAGAAGACGACAAUCUACCUGUCAGUGUGCAGCAGAAGAGAAAGCGUGAUAUCUACUUAGAGUCAAAACAAAGGGAACCAGCUCGCAAUUCCUCCGAUACAUCAUUACCGACGUCAUAGCUCUAUUCCCCCAAUUCGUCACUACCAACGUCAUUCUAUCUCCAUUACGCAUUAUUUAAAGAGUCCCCAUGCAGAAGCUGUUCGAAACACAAGUCAGCUUUGACACAACCCCACUUCAUUGUGAUAACCUAUCCGGCACAGGUCCCUGUCCAAAGACCCAUCUUACUCUUUACAUUGUGGCCACUGAUUUGGUAUCUAAUCUCAGGCAAAAUUCACUGGUUUGAUGAAGGUUAUAGAACAAAACUUGUGUUAUUCUUAUCUUUGGUUUUGAUGAACUUUAAAGCAUUUAAAAAGAUUCAACUGGUAAGAAGUAUUUUUGCCUUGGGAAGAUGUUGGUUAUGGAUUAAAAGCAAAAAAGACCCUUGUACAUAUUUUUGGGUACCUGUCAAGCAAAUUAAUGCACAUCCGAACAUCACAACUGUUGUCUCUUAAAUUCUUCCAAUUGACCUGCUUUCGUCUUAUUGAGCGUCUGGGUUACUUGAUAAUGCAAAAACUCAUACAGUUAUUUCGAUAAAUUAAGAGCCUCGGGCAUCAAGGAAAAUCUAUUAUUACUUAAUCGAUAAAUUAAUAAUUUAUUAAUUUAAUUGCUUAUUAAUGAGAUCUCUUGAAUAAUUCUAUUAUGGAACAAGACACCAUAACAAUAUUAAAUAAAUUUUUGUCAUAGUAUGAGAAUACCACACUAGAUGUAAUAUGAGAAUGUCAUAUUUAAUUAGGGCCUUGGCUUAAAAUAAGUAAAUAAAUAAUUAAUAAUUAAAAUAUAAAUACUAGACUCACAUUUUAAACAAACACUUCUAAACUCUCAGACUCUACAAAGAACAUACACAAAGAAAUCUAGGUUCCAGAUUUGAGUGAAGAGAAAGAGAAUUUGAUUUUUUUUGUUCUUUUGUGAAAAUUUCAUGGUAAGUGAUACUUCUUAAAGUUUUCUUUUUUUUUUUUUAUAGUUUUUCUUCUUAGAAACUUUAAUUUCCUAAUAAGAUUAAAAAAGAAUUAAUGAAAACAAGAAAUUAAGAAAAUAAAUUGAAAGUAGUUAAAUCUAGAAUGAUAGAAUAAUAAUAAUAAUAAUAAUAAAAACAAUAGAAAGUUUGAUGUGUUAUUGCCGAAACCUAGAGGAAAAUUCUAUAUGAAAUAGUGGAGUUUAUGUUUUUUUUUUAAUAUAUAUAUAUAUAUAUAUAUAGGAUUUUUGGGAGAAAUAGGUAUCCAUGUAAAUAGAAAUUCUUAUGUGUAGGAGAUAAUAAUUGUAUUAAAAAAAAAUUAAUAGACUAAAACCUGGAGAUUGGUAUUCAUACAGUAAGAUUCCAAGUAUAUAGAAAGUAGAAUUACAUGGAACCUAAAAUUUGGUGCACAAUGUGAUUCUUUAUUUAAAACAAAUAGAAUUUAGUGCAUAGUAGGAUUCCUUGUUCAAAUGAAAUAGAAUUUGUUGGGAGAUACAUGGACUAAUAUUAAUUGUGAAGUUAAGAUGUAUUGUGUAUUGGUGUGAUACUGGAAGUGCAUGAGACAAACUUUUGGAGUGUUGGUAUAGGAAAUAAAGUUUUUUUAAAAAAAACUAAUCUAAUAUAAAAAUAUUGGAGGCCUCGAAUUUUAUUAUGUUAGGAUUCCAUAAUGAAUUAAAUUAAAUCAAAUUAAAUUAAUGUAAUUUAGAUUAGAUUAAUUAUAAGUGAGGGAAUUGAAAAGUUCAAGACAAUAAUUUCAAGACAAUUAAGAAAUGGAAAUUUGAUGUUUUUCCUAGAUAAAUGAAUAAUUUAUAUAUGUGUUACAAAACUAUACAUAUUUAGAAUAUAAUUAUUAUUAGAACAUUUGUUUAAAGAACCCUUAGAAUUUCUCAGGUAAUUCUUAGGAAAUUCUACUGCUUUAAUAUUUGGAGUUUGAGUCCAAUUAAGGGGACUAACUAAAUUUUUUUUUUUAUUUUAUAAAUAGUCAAAUAUAAUUUUCUUUUGAAAGUUUUAAGAAAUUGGAAAAUAAUUUUGUUAUAUUGUAUAUGUUUGCUUACACGUGUGAUAUGAAUUUUUUUGUUUAAAAGAAAAAAAAAAUUAGGACUAGUAAUCUAAUCCUUGUUAAUAAAGGAAAGUGUUUUGACUUUCAUUACCUUUGGUGAAGGUAAUGAUAAUUUGUAAACCCAAUCAUUAGAUUUGUCCUGGCUCCGCCCACCAUCAUGUAAGGAACACAUGAGGUUAGCUAUUUCUAUUAGUCUCAUUACAAUGGGCACCUCUCUAAGUCCAAAUUUUGAUGGGCAUUUUCUGUAAAAAGUUAGAAUUGUUCAUUUAAUAUGUUUGCAAAAUAAUGUUAUGCUUAAAUUAUUUUAAAAAUGACACAUGUAAUAUUAGUUGUUUUGUUGUGUUUAAAAGCAUGCUAUAAAGAUUCCUUAUUUCAUUUUUGGAAACACGCAUACUUGAUUUUCAUACCCCUCAUCGGACUUUAAACUCACUCCUUUUACUAAAAUGUUUUUAGAUAUACAUCUAAUUCUAGCAAUGAGUGAUUCGAGUAAGAGGGUUUUUCAUAGAUCCAUUUAGUUCUUAGUUUUAAGUUUAAUGUCAUAAUAACAUUUUGUUAUUAUAGUUUAAUUUAUCAUUACUAUUUUAGAUAAUAUGUUAUAUUUGAAUUAUAGAUUUCGUGCGAAAGAAUAAUUUUUUAUUAUUUCUUUGAAGAUAUAUGAUCAUUUUGAAAGUUUGCUUCUAAAAUGACCUUGGUGUUUAGCUUACGGGUCAGUAUCGUUAUACUAGACCUUCUAUUUGUAUUAUGAAACUACAUAGAUUUUUCCAUAAUAUAUUAUAUUAUAAAUUUAUCAAAUUAUUAGUUUAGCAUGAUGGCCCUAGGUUCAUAUUGAUUAAAAAAUUAUUUAAUUGAGGUUCUCUAUUAAUUAAAUAUUAAUUUAAUUGUCAGAUACUCUUAUUAUUAUUAUUUUUUAUAAAAUAUUCAAAAAUAUUCUUUGUUAUAUCUUUAACUUAAAAAUAUUUUAAAAAAAACAAGAAUAAAAAAACAUCACCAAACAAGCCCUUAUUUAUUUGUUUGUUUUUUAUGUUUUGUUUGCUAUUGUGGUUUUGUUUAGUUGUCAAGAAGUGUGAGACAGUUGAAGAAAUUGAAGUUUUUUUUUUAUAUAUAUAUUUUUUUAAUAGUAUAGGCAAAAAUUCCAAAGGUUUGAAUUGCUUCAAUUUGUUUGUUUGACUUAUGAGAAAAGGUGGGACAAAUACUUCAAUGAGUUUAUAAUCAUCAGUAGUUAACUUACUUCUCUAUCGAAAUGGUUUAAUCAUUCACACUUAAAUUAAAAGCUGGAUUAUCAAAUCCAUUUCCCUUCAUGGAAACUAGUAACUUGAUCCAUCUACUGGUCAUUUAUGGCUUGAGGUCUUGUGCCAUGCACUCUUAAGUUGAUUUCUAGCUAGAAGUCGUAGUGGUAGGGUAUUCAGGAAUCCUUGUCAUAAAAUGUUGUAAAAUUUAUUUUGUGCAAAUUGUUAAGCUACAACUCAAACCAAGGAGUUAUAUACCAUCUAGAUUGCUUGGAUGAAGAAUAUAGACCAAAUCUAUGUAUGUAUGAUAGUUGUUAAUAGGUAGCAAUAGUGGAGUUAAGCUUCAUAGGAUACUGUUUACUGAUAAAGUUUACAUCUUAUAUAGGAUGGAACGAGUUUUUGAACUUUUGUUAACAUAGAAAAACUAAUUGGGUUAGAAUUCUGGCAUAGGUUUUUGCUAUGGUGAAUCAAACAUUCGGGGGACAUCUACCUAUGACACUCCCAAGACAACUAAUUAGUUCUUCACUAGAAUGAGAUGAUCGAUCUCUAUUUGAGCAAUUGGUUAGAUUAAUCCGAUAACUUUUUUUUUAAUUCUCCCAAUAAGAAAACCUUUCUUAAUUAUUCCAACAUGAGAAAUUUUUUUUCUACCUAUGGUUUUUUCAAUGACUAAAUAUAUUUAUUCCUUAGUAUCUAGUACUUUAAGAAAAACAAAAGUUAAAUUGAUUUUAUCAAAAUCUAAAACUUAAUUAAGUCAGAUAAUUAAAAUAUAAUUAAUUGAAAGUUAUCUUAAGCACAUUAAAUUUUACCUCUUACCACCUAAAAUGAUUUCAAAUUUUAUAGUUGUGAUAGAUCCAAGUUGUCCGAAAAGGUCUAUAGAAUAUGCAUUCUUUUACUUAUAAACAAUGUCUUAAAUAGUCGAGGUAGAGUUAUAUAGGGUCAUGGAUUUCUUAUUUUAUUCGAUGUGGGAAAUCAUAAUACACACUUAUCUCCUGUGAAGAGGGACCGUAACCAGGUUGGCUCAUAUAAAAUAACUAAAUUGGAAAUUGGUCUCUAGAUCUUAACUUUGGGUCGCGUCUAGAGGACGACAAACUACCGGUCAGUGUACAGCAGAAGAGAAAGUGAGACAGGAUACUUAUACAUCUCUUGAAAUUAAUUAGUCUUUGAGUCAAAACAAAGAGGAAGCAGCUCACAAUUCCUCCAAAACAUCAUUGCAAACGUCAUAGCUCUGUUUCCCCAAAUUCGUCAUUACAAACGUCAUUCCAUACUCUGCCUUCCUUAUUUAAAGAGUCCCAUGCAGAUGCAGAUGCAGUUCGAUACACAAGUCAGAUUUGAUCAUCCUCUACAUAGACCCAACCGAAGUAUCUCCACUUCAUCUUCUUCCCCUACAAUGACACAACCCCACUUCAUUGUGAUAACCUAUCCCGCACAAGGCCACAUCAACCCUUCUCUCCAACUGGCUAAGCGCCUCAUACGUGCUGGUGCCCAUGUCACAUUCGUCACUAGCACCUAUGCCAGUGAGCGCAUGACCAAAACCCCCACCAUGGAUGGUUUAAAAUUUGUCACAUUCCCGGACGGCUGCGACAGUGGCCUCAAGCAAAGCGAUGCCCUCCAAGGCUUCAUGUCUGAGCUUGAGCGUCUUGGCUCCCAAGCUCUUACCGACCUCCUCAUAGCCAGCGCUAAUGAAGGUCGUCCCGUUACUUGCAUAAUCUACGGCAUCCUGAUUCCUUGGGUAGCAGAGGUGGCGCAUAGUCUUCACAUCCCCUCCGCACUUUUUUGGAGUCAACCUGUCUCUGUUUUUAAUAUCUAUUAUUAUUAUUUUUGUGGCUAUGGAGAGGUCAUUCGCAAGAAAGUCAGUGACUCCUCGCCUUCCAUUGAAUUACCAGGACUGCCCUUGCUCGGUAGCCGUGACAUUCCCUGUUUCCUACUCCCCUCAAAUGCAAAUGAAUACAACUUUGUCCUUUCAGCGUUUCAGAAGCACGUAGAGAUGCUCCACCGUGACACCAACCCAACGGUACUGAUAAACACUUUCGAUGCAUUGGAACCAGAGGCCCUAAGGGCCGUCAGUAAGUUUAAGUCGAUUGGAGUUGGACCCUUGUUUCCAACCGCUUUCUUGGGUGGAAAAGAUCCAUCCGAUACUUCAUUUGGAGGUGAUCUGUUCCGUCGUUCAAAGGAUUAUAUUGAAUGGCUGAACUCAAAGCCUGAAUCUUCUGUCAUUUAUGUGUCAUUUGGAAGCCUCGCGGUGUUAUCGAAGCAACAGUCAGAGGAGAUUGCUCGUGGAUUGCUGGACAGUGGCCGGCCUUUCCUGUGGGUCAUAAGAGCCAAGGAGAAGGGAGAAGAGGAGAAAGAAGAAGAUAAACUAAGUUGCUACGCAGAAUUAGAACAACAAGGUAUGAUAGUACCAUGGUGUUCUCAGGUUGAGGUUCUCUCAAAUCCAUCACUGGGUUGUUUCGUGACUCAUUGUGGGUGGAAUUCAACCUUGGAGAGCUUGGCUUCUGGGGUGCCAGUUGUGGCAUUUCCUCAGUGGACCGACCAAUCCACGAAUGCAAAGCUAGCCGAAGACGUGUGGAAAACGGGUGUACGGGUGACCGUGAACCAAGAAGGAAUAGUUGAAAGCGAUGAGAUUAAGAGGUGCUUGGAAUUGGUCAUGGGAGAUGGAGAGGAGGCGAAAGAAAUGAGAAGGAAUGCAAAGAAAUGGAAGGGUUUGGCAAGGGAGGCUGUGAUGGAAGGUGGAUCAUCUGACAAGAAUCUUAAGAAUUUUAUGGAUGAGGUCAUACAAGGUUACUAGCUAGAUAUUGUGGUUGUAUCUCUUGGAGUUUAUGUUAAGACUCCCCGAUUAAUUUAAAUAUUUUACAAGAAGAUUUUUAUUAUUUAUGAUGUUAAUACAAGUAGUAGUAUUAAUUAAUGGUAGAGGGCAUAUCUAAAAUUAUGGGAGAUUCAUUGCUUCCUGAAGGCCCUAUCACAAAGGAUCUGUCAAAUGCGUGGCUAAGGUGCUGUUUGGUAAAUGUCCGUUACCAGCCAAAAUUUUGCAAUUAUUGCUAAUGGGAAUCAGGGAAACCCCAAACUGGCCUUGAUGGUCCUUGCGUGAAGACCCAUCCAAUUCUUUACAUUGUGGCCACUGAUUUGGUGUCUUAUCCUCUCAUGCCCAUCACUUCAUGUUUACAAAUUGAUAUUGUAUUCAUAGCUAUUUUUUAUGAAGGUUCAAUUGGCAAGAAGUAUUUUUGCCUUGGGAAGAUGUUGGUUAUGGAUUUAAAGCAAAAUAAAAGAUUAAAAAAAUGAUCCUUGUACAAAUUUUUGGGUGCCUCUAUUAAUUAAGUGAAUAUUAUUAUUUAAUUGAUAAAUUAAUAAUUUAUUAAUUUAAUUACUUAUUAAUUAGAUCUCUGGAAUAAUUCUAUUAUGGAACCUAUCUUGCACUAAGAAGCAUCCAUAGCGAUAAUAAUAUUAAAUAAAUUUUUGUUAUAGUACAAGAAUGUUACAUCAGACCUUUUUUUUUUUUUUUUUCAUAUUAGGAAUAGUUAAAGAUGAGAUUUAAGUAAACAUAAGUUUUAAGAAAAAAUAACACAUAUAUUUUACGAAGGAUUCUUGAUAAAACAUAUGAAUUUAAUUAUAUAUUAGAAAAUUAUUAAUUUUUAUAAUAUGUGGAUUUUAUAUGAAACUACAUAGAUUUUUUUUAUAAUGUAUUAUUUUAUAAAUUUAUCAAAUUAUUAGUUUAGCACGAUGACCCCAAAUUUAGAUUAAUUAAAAAAAUAUUUAAUUGAAGUUCUUAAUUAAUUAAAUAUUAAUUUAUUAUAAAGUUUUAUUGUAUUUUAUUUUCAUGUUCUGAAAACUAGUCGAUUUGAUUGGUUUGAGCAUUGAUUGACUAUGUAUUUUACAUAUGAGAUCGAUUAUGAGUUGCACUUUCAUCCCAAGGUAUUUAAAAAUUAGGAAAAUCAAUCCCAAGGUAUCUAUUUUACUUUUCUUAGUCUAUUCACCAUUGUCCAAACACUCCAUAAGUGGAAUGUAACUUGGAGGGGCUUGAAUAUGCAGAAUUUUAUAAUUUUGCACAUUAAUGUCUCAGAGUGUUAAAAUCUUUUACAACUAAUUGUAGAUAAGUUUAGUAUUGACAAAUAAUUUUAUUACAAUUAAAUUAUUUUUUAAUUUAUAAAAAGGUUAAAAUAAAGAUAUUUAAGAAAUAUAGUACCUUAACAAUUAAAAAUAACAUUGGUUGAUGAUAUCUAAGAAAUUCAAUGUUUUCUUCAACCUAAAAUGAAUAUAAAAAUUUGGUAUGAGGAUUGUUUGCUCGACUAUUGAAACUUAUUGACAACAUAGGAAGAGACAAAACUUUUGGGGAUAUAUUAAUAGAGUGAGGAAUUUGGUACUUGAUUCAUAGAGUAAAAGUUGAACAAAAGCAUCAAGAAACAUCGGGGUUGGAAAUGAUAGUGCACUUUUUAAAAGUCAUAGGUGGAAAGAGGGAAAAUUAGAACAGAUGAACCUUAAUUUUUUGGUAUUUUUGAUAGGUGUUUAGUAAAAUAAUUUAAUAUUACAAUUUAUAGUUAAAAAUGACUUAGUAUAUAAGCAGUUAAAAUGAUUUAGGGCUUGUUUGACCGUGUUUUUUAAAAUUUUCUUUUAAAAUAGAGAAUAAAAAUAGUGAACAUCAAGUUGUUGGAUGGACCAAUUUCUACUCAAUGCCAAAGACAGAACCACACGAAUAGUAGUUAGUUUAACCACAAAACUAAAGGUUUCAAGGAAAUCAAAACCGUGAGUUUGAUGAAAUCCUUUCACCGCUAAAUGUGCCUUAUAACAAUCAAUAGUUCCAUUAGGUUUAAACUUCAAUUUAUAAACCCAGUAACAUCUAAUGGUAUUCUGAUUAGACCAAGGAAGAAUGAUGACCUAUGUUUUAUUUUUCAUAAGAGCUUCAAAUUCAAGAUGCAUAGCCUAUUGCCAUUUAGGAACUUUAGCAAUUUCCUUAAAGGAAUUCAGUUCACAAAGUGGGGGAAAAAUAGUCUUAGUAGGAGACAAAAAUAACUUGAGUUCGAAAAUGCCAUUUUUGGCACGCAUUAUCAUGAGAUGACAAGUAUAGUAUGAACAUAAGAGGAAAGAGGUUGGGUUGUUGGAAUAGGUAUAACCUUAGAAAAGGAAAUUGGCACACUAGAAUUAGAUAUUGGAACCAACUUUGAAGGUGGACAUAAUGGGGGAGGUAAGAGGGAAGAUAUUGGAGAUGAUGGUACUACCAAGGGAAUGACACAAUGAGAGAGGGAAACAUAAUAAGGAGUCUGAACUAUGGAAGACUUAGCAAAUGGGAAAUCUAGUUCAUAAAAAAUAACAUGUUGUGAUAUAUGUAUUUUAUGAUUGGACAUGUUUAAAUAAAGAUAUUCUUUAUGCUUAGAACUAUAGUUGAUAUUUUAACGGAUUGAUAUGCAAGUUUAUGACAAUUAAAAGGAUGUAGAAAAGGAUAACAAAUGCAACCAUAGACAUGAAGAUAAUAAUAAUUUGGUAGACAAUGGUAAAGAGUCUUAUACGGAUCAAGAAGAGAUAUUCAACAUAGAGGUAGGAAGUCUAUUAAUCAAAUAUAAGGUAGAUUGGAAAGCAAAAGGUCAAUAUUUAAGUGGAAUAGAAGCAUGAGCAAGCAAAGAAAGACAUAUUUCAACCACAUGUCUAUGUUUUCUCUCCACAUGACCGUUUUGUUGAAAAGUAGAUGGACAAGAUACUCUAUGCAGAAUCCUAAAUUUACAUAAAGUAUCAAUAAAGGCUUGAAACUCCCCUCCCUAAUUAGUUUGAAGCACUCUAACUUUAGUGUAAAAUUGAGUCUCAAUUAUCACUUUAAAUUGCAAAAAAGCAGAGAUAGCUUGAUUUUUAGAAGCUAGUAGAUACAACCCCAAGAAAAUCUUGUAUGGUCAAUAAGAAAAAAGUACAAAGUAUCUUGCUCCAUUAGCACCAACAAUAGCGGUAGGACCCCAUAGAUCAAAAUGUAUAAGAGCAAAAGGCUAAGAGACUCUAGAUUUAGACAAAGUAAAAGGUAAGUGAUGACUCUUUGCCAUUUGACAAGGUUCACAAAUACCUAUCCAAUGUUUUGAGGGCAUACUAUAAGCACUCAAAACUUUAUUGACUAUUUUACGUGCAAGAUGACCUAAUUAAAAUGCCAUAGAACUACCUUAUUGGGAAGUUGUAAUGCAAAUAACAUACACAGGACCUCAAUUGCCAAGCUUGUUCUUCUAACAAUUUUAUUACAAUUGGAAUCUAUAUUUUUUACCAGAAGCUGAAGAUGACAAUUUGUAUAAACCAUGGUUAAGGUUGCCUUGGAGAAGAGCCUUCUUUGAAGCUUGAUCCUUCAUCACAAAUCCAUUAGUAAAGAAUUCCACAGUAACAUUAUUGUCAGUACACAACUUAUUCACACUUAUCAGAUUGGUUGUAAGUUGUGGAACAUGUAAAAUAUUCUUUAGAUUUAAAGACUGAGAAACCGACAAAAUAGUAGAGUAUCCAAUAUUUGAGAUAUUUAAGCAAUUACCGUUUCCAAUGACGACUUUGUCCAAACUAGCAAAUGGAGUAUGUGCAUUCAAGUUGUUGAAAUUUAGAGUUAGGUGAUAUGUAGCUCUAGUAUCCAUGUACCAACUUCCAUCUCCAAUAGUGGCCAGAGUUGCAAUCAUUGCAGCAAGAUGAGGUUACUCAAUUCUUAGGGUUCUUCUUUCUCAUUGGUUUUUGACUCAGAUGAGUUAACUUAGUUCCUAGAGCUCUUCCUCAAUGACAAACAAUUCUGAUUAGAGUGUGGCAAUGAGUUCAAUGAGCAAGCUGGUGAUUGGUCAAGGCCUCACCAGUGAUGAGGAUGUUGGUGAUAGCAACAAUCUAGUUGGAGAAAUGAUUUUUUCCAACACCUUCAAACACCGUAAAAAUGAUCAUAUCAUCAUCAUGAUCUUAGAUAAGAGAAACUUAAAGUUUUUUUUUUUAUUUCAAUUUCAAAUUCAAAACAAAAUUGCAGAGCACUAGAUACAAAAAAAAGAAAAAAGAAAAUAAAAGAACAAAAAAUCACUAUAGAAACCUUAGAAAACACACUAGGAAGAAAAAUCAUAGACAAACUCACAGAAGAAUUUUAUGGCUUUAGGAGUCGGAGCCGGAGCUAGAGAAGAGUCUUAAUGGACAUUGAGGAGGGACAAGAAGAGGUGUUCAACUAUAAUUUAUAUAGGCUAUAUAUAUUGUAAAUGUUGGCUUUAAAAUGUAUCUGGUAGUGACCCAAUGGAAGUGGAGUCUAUAGGAACAUCUAUGGUAGCGAUCCAAAAAUUAUUGCAGUUAUAGGAGAAUAUAUAAUAGCACUUUCAACAGUAAUCGUGACUAUGUAUAUUUCCUGGAAAAUUUCCCACCAAUCCCAAUCUCAAUCCCUUUAGAUGCAUGUGGUUGGAAUAUGCAUGAGGCCAUAUAUUAUGCGGUUGGGAUAUGAAUGAGGCUAUAUAAUAUUUUUAGUUGUGGAUUUUCUUAGCCCCUACUAAAACUAUAUUGCCAUUUCCUAUUCUUCUUGUAAUGUCAAGUUGGAAAGUCAAACUUAAUUUAAAAACUUUUUAAAUAUUAAACUUAGAGUUAGAGUUAGGUGGUGUUUGUUUUUUUUUUUUGUUGAAAACAAUUUGUUUUCAGAAUUUAAGUCGUUUGUUUUUCUAUUUUUUCAUGACUUAUUAUAUACUUUUUACCAAACAGAAAAAACCAAAAUAUGUAGUUUUUUCUAAAUAGAAAAAAUAAUAUGUUCAUUUUUUUUACUUUUUAAUACUUAAUAGAAAUAAAAUACUACAAAAACAAACAACCUAAUAUUUAACAUUAUUAAGUAUUAAGGUUCUAUUUAGAAUUAAAUAAAAAAAAAUAAAUGCCACAUUAGUUUCUAAAUGUUAAGGAGAACAUUUUAUUUUGAAUGAUUAUUUAGUGUUUGUAUUUGAGUAGUUAAGUCGUCAAAGGUCUCUGUAUUUGAUUAUUAAGAGUUUCUAUUUGGAUAAAUGUGAGUAUAUUUAUAAACAAAAAUUCAUAUAUAUAAUAUAUAUAUAUAUAUUUUAAAAAAGCAAUAGAAUACAAUAAAUUUUUAAUUCUCUCCUAUUUUAUCUUUUUUAUAAGUGUGUGUUUCUCUUUCAUCUAGACAACUCACACAAUACUAACACAAUGAGAGUAAAAGGAGAAGGGCAACAAAGAGUUGGAGCCGGAGAUCAUUGGAGGAACGGGUCAACUGUAGGCCGGUUGUCCAUGGGCUCAUAUAAGUAACAAAAAUUGGAAAUGGUUUCUAUAUCUUAGUGUCGUCUAGAAGACGACAAUCUACCUGUCAGUGUGCAGCAGAAGAGAAAGCGUGAUAUCUACUUCGAGUCAAAACAAAAGGGAACCAGCUCGCAAUUCCUCCGAUACAUCAUUACCGACGUCAUAGCUCUAUUCCCCCAAUUCGUCACUACCAACUUCAUUCUAUCUCCAUUACGCAUUAUUUAAAGAGUCCCCAUGCAGAUGCUGUUCGAAACACAAGUCAGCUUUGACACAACCCCACGUCAUUGUGAUAACCCAUCCGGCACAGGUCCCUGUCCAAAGACCCAUCUUACUCUUUACAUUGUGGCCACUGAUUUAGUAUCUAAUCUCAGGCAAAAUUCACUGGUUUGAUGAAGGUUAUAGAACAAAACUUGUGUUAUUCUUAUCUUUGUUUUUGAUGAACUUUAAAGCAUUUAAAAAGAUUCAACUGGUAAGAAGUAUUUUUGCCUUGGGAAGAUGUUGGUUAUGGAUUAAAAGCAAAAAAGACCCUUGUACAUAUUUUUGGGUACCUGUCAAGCAAAUUAAUGCACAUCCGAACAUCACAACUGUUGUCUCUUAAAUUCUUCCAAUUGACCUGCUUUCGUCUUAUUGAGCGUCUGGGUUACUUGAUAAUGCAAAAACUCAUACAGUUAUUUCGAUAAAUUAAGAGCCUCAGGCAUCAAGGAAAAUCUAUUAUUACUUAAUCGAUAAAUUAAUAAUUUAUUAAUUUAAUUGCUUAUUAAUGAGAUCUCUUGAAUAAUUCUAUUAUGGAACAAGACACCAUAACAAUAUUAAAUAAAUUUUUGUCACAGUGUAAGAAUGCCGCAAUAGAUGUAAUAUGAGAAUGUGAUAUUUAAUUAUGGGCCUCCGCUUAAAAUAAGUAAAUAAAUAAUUAAUAAUUAAAAUUUAAAUAAAAUAAAUAAUUAAUUAAUAAUUAAAAUACAAAUACUAGACUCACAUUCUGAGCAGCCGCUUCUAAACUCUUAUACGCUACAAAAAAACAUACACAAAGAAAUCUAGGAUUCUAGAUUUAAGUGAAGAGAAAGAGGAUUUGAUCUUUUUGUUCUUUCUCGAAAAUUUCAUGGUAAGUGAUACUUCUUAAAGAUUUUUUUUUUCAGUUUUUCUUCUUAGAAACUUUAAUUUCCUAAUAAGAUUCAGAAAUAAUUAAUAAAAACAAGAAAUUAAGAAAUACAUUGAAAGUAAUUAAAUCUAAUAUGAUAGAAACCUAAUAAUAAUAAUAAAAAUAAUAGAAAGUUUGAUGUAUUAUUUCUGAUACCUAAAGGAAAAUUCUAUAUGAAAUUGUGGAGUUAAUGUUUUUUUUUUUAAAUAUAUAAUAAUAACAAAAAACAAUAGAAAGUUUGAUGUGUUAUUGCGUAAACCUAGAAGAAAAUUCUAUAUGAAAUAGUGGAGUUAAUGUUUUUAAAAUAUAUAUAUAUAUAUAUACUAGAAAUUCUUAUGUGUAGGAGAUAAGAAUUCUAUUGGAGGCCUCCAAUUUUAUUAUGUUAGGAUUCCAUAAUGAAUUAAAUUAAAUUAAAUUAAUAUAAUUUAGAUUAGAUUAAUUAUAACUGUGGGAAUUGAAAAGCUUAGGAUGACAAUUAAGAAAUGGAAAUAUGAUAUUUUUUCUAGAUAAAUGAAUAAUUUAUAUAUAUGUUAAAAAACUAUAUAUAUUUAGAAUAUAAUUAUUAUUAGAACAUUAGUUUAAAGAACCCUUAUAAUUUCUCAGGUAAUUCAAAGGAAAUUCUACCGCUUUAAUAUUUGGAGUUUAAGUCCAAUUAAGGGGACAAAUUAAAAAAUAUUUAAGUAUAAUUUUCUUUUGAAAGUUUCAAGAAAUUGGGAAAUAAUUUUGUUAUAAGGUAUAUGUUUGCUUAGAUGUGUGAUAUGAAUUUUUUUUUGUUUAAAAGAAAAAAAAAAUAGGACUAGUAAUCUAAUCCCUGUUAAUAAAGGAAAGUGUUUUGACUUUGGGUCAUAUAAAGUAACUAAAUUGGAAAAUGGUCUCUAGAUCUUAACUUUGGGUCGCGACUAGAAGACGACAAACUACCGGUCAGUGUACAGCAGAAGAUAAAGUGAGACAGGAUACUUAUACAUCUCUUGAAAUUAAUUUGUCUUUGGUCAAAACAAAGAGGAAGCAGCUCACAAUUCCUCCAAAACAUCAUUGCAAACGUCAUAGCUCUGUUUCCCCAAAUUCGUCAUUCCAUACUCUGCCUUCCUUAUUUAAAGAGUUCCAUGCAGAUGCAGAUGCAGUUCGAAACACAAGUCAGAUUUGAUCAUCCUCUGCAUAGACCCAACCGAAGUAUCUCCACUUCAUCUUCUUCCCCUACAAUGACACAACCCCAUUUCAUUGUGAUAACCUAUCCGGCACAAGGCCACAUCAACCCUUCUCUCCAACUGGCUAAGCGCCUCAUACGUGCUGGUGCCCAUGUCACAUUCGUCACUAGCACCUAUGCCGGUGAGCGCAUGGCCAAAACCCCAACCAUGGAUGGGUUAAAAUUUGUCACAUUCCCGGAUGGCUGCGACAGUGGCCUCAAGCAAAGCGAUGCCCUCCAAGGCUUCAUGUCUGAGCUUGAGCGUCUUGGCUCCCAAGCUCUUAUCGGCCUCCUCAUAGCCAGCGCUAAUGAAGGUCGUCCCGUUACUUGCAUAAUCUACGGCAUCCUGAUUCCUUGGGUAGCAGAGGUGGCGCGUAGUCUUCACAUCCCCUCCGCACUUUUUUGGAGUCAACCUGUCUCUGUUUUUAAUAUCUAUUAUUAUUAUUUUUGUGGCUAUGGAGAGCUCAUUCGCAAGAAAGUCAGUGACUCCUCGCCUUCCAUUGAAUUACCAGGACUGCCCUUGCUCAGUAGCCGUGACAUUCCCUGUUUCCUACUCCCCUCAAAUGCAAAUGAAUACAACUUCGUCCUUUCAGCGUUUCAGAAGCAC